AAACAAAAAAUCUAUUUAUUAUUCCUACUCUUACAAAGUCUAAAUUAAAAUCAUCCAAAAAUUAAUACAAGUCUUUUAAAAGUGAAAAUAAAAAAAUUCAAUCCUUCUCCGAAUCAUCGAGGGGAUGAGAACGUCUCUUCUCCAUAGGGGCUUUGCCAUUUCCUUUGACAUAUGUUUUGUGGUAGUUCCCACCCAUUAAAGGCACAUGGUGAGUUGGGCUUCGAAUGACAGGCCCUUUUGGUGUAGAAAAUUGCUGCUGAAAUGUCGCUUCAUACUCAUCCCCUAUUCCAGGGUAUUCCUGAGCAGCACCUUCCUCCUCAAGAUAAACCUCUUCAUCCUGAUGAGUCGGAGUUGGCUUGAACAUGUCUGGAGGAUAAUUUGGAGCGCGUAACCCACUCAUCCUUAUGAAUUCUUGAUGUACUAGUCCUGUCUCAUGCAUCCAUCGAAUCAUUCCGUCAAGUUUUGCGUCUAUGUCUCCACUAGCUCCCUUUUCUAAUCUUUGAGUGAUCUUUUUGUUUGAGUGAUGUUAGUAUGUCAAAUUUUAUCUUCCUCCUUUGAUUCCAUUUAGUUAUCUGCUUCCGCUGAAGUUUGACAUAUUGGGUAUAUAAUGUAUCUCCGAUACUACUCCUCGUUGGUUUCAUUAAUUGCUUGUUUUCGCUCAUUGGCACCUCUGUCUGAUAGCAUAGAGCCGUUACGAGGUGGGGGAAGUAGAGUCCAAGUUUUUGGCUCUAUACGCACCUUUUCAUUUCUUAAAAAAUCCAAUGCCCUACAUUGAUUUGUUUUCACUGCAUGAUACCAUGUAACAAGAUAGCUGGAAACACAUUAACAUUAGAAACAUUUAAUACGGGUGCAAUUCUAGUGCCAAUGAAUAGCAUCCACAUUUUAGCAACAAGAAACAUAAUAACUUGAUUAAAAUUCAUGGGAAGCUUAGUGUCGGCAUGUAGUUCCAACUACCCCUGCCUUGUGUUAGAUAUUUUAUAACAUCUUCCAUGUCAAUGUUUUGAAAUCCUUCUAGAUUAGUAUAAUCUAUAAAAUCUUUUUCAUAAAAUGGGAUGUUAUAAAACUCACAGAUAUCAUUAUGGGAGAUUGGAACGUCUUCCUCUUGCACUUCAACAUCAGUUAUAACUGAAUUAUAAUGUAACACCCGCGACCUCCGUCGUUGGAUCAGGGUUACAGAGUAUUGUUGUACAAAAUAGAAUAUUAAACAUCGAAAUAGAAUCAAAAUGCCAUUUAUAUAUUAACAUUUGAUAACAAAAUUAAACUAUAACAUAAGUACCUUUACAGACUAAAAUCGAACCUAAGAGGCCUUAAAAAUAGUUUGGAAACAAUGAGGGAUUACUCGAAACAAAUAAAAAAUUUAGGCCAAACUUGAGAAUUUUCAAAAUAGGGGUUACACGGCAAUGUGACAUAGCUCAGGCUGUGUGGGAAUUCAAACUAUGGGACACACGGCCGUGUCCUAGCCCGUGUGCCAGACCAUGUAAAACUUGCACCUAAAUUAAUAUGACACACGAUCACAUGAGGUGAUCGUGUGUAGCACAUGGUCGCGAGACUGCCCGUGCCUCAAGCCGUGGGCAGUAAAAAGUGCCCCUUAAACAAACCAUUUCAAAUUCAAUUACUUGCAUACCAAUGCACACCAUAUCUAACCUAUUUCACAUGGUUAAAAGUACUUCCAAAGCAUAGAAAACAUGCGAAAUUCUCAUCCAACCUAUGAUUAACCAAUAUAUCAUCAAUAAACUCACCAAAUCACACUCCAAAACCAUUCAUGAACUACAUUACAAUAUCAUAUAUCAAUCAUAUGUCAUGAAUACCAAAAGACCAUUUCUUUUCAAAUUAUACCAUCAAAAUUCACCAGUUUAGAUAAGUAAAAUUAAAAUGACCAUAUCCAUAAAAGUUUAAAUAUAUACAAGCCAAAUAAAACUAUAUAUAUAUACUACUAGACACAAGAAAAACCAAAAUACACCAUGUGAUCAAACUAGAUAAGCACCUAUUACAUGCCAAAGCACAAAGUUUUGUGCCUAGCACUAAUCGGAUAAACAAGAGAUAGGUGUGCCCUGCACUAGUCGGAUAAACCGACAAUGUUUUGUACCUAGCGCUAGUCAGACAAACUGACGAUAUCAAAUGUGUGUCCAGCACUAGUCAGAUAAACUGACGAUAUCAAAUGUAUGCCCAUCACUAGUCGGAUAAACUAACAAUAAAUUACGCCUAACACUAGUCGGAUAAACCGACGAUAUCAAAUGUGUGCCCAGAACUAGUCGGGUAAACUGAAAAUACAGACAUAAUUACAUCAUCCAGAUUUCUUCAAUUUAUAAUUUAAAUCCUUUACAUUAAUCUUCUAUAUUAAAUUUCUAUAAUCCACUCCAUAACCACUUUCAUAUAUAUAUAUAUAUCCAUAACAUUACAUUUAAAAUACUAAUCAUUUGAAUACAUAUAAUUGACUAUCAAAUUAACUAAUUAUCAAACUAAUUAAAUAAAAAAUGUAUGAGUUUAAGCAUUACGAACUUACCUGAACUCAAAAUUGACUUUUAACAUGAACCAACUACUACUCCGCUAGUUUGACUUUUCCGCGAUUUGUGUCCGUUCGAGUUGUUUCUUAAUCUAGAUAAAUAUUUUUAUUUAAUUAAUCUCAUUCCAGCAUUUAAAAUAAUUAAUUCAAGCCUAUAACCCUUAUCUUUAAGAAUUUACUAAAUUACCCCAAUAUUUUAGCAUUUUUGCAAUUUAGUCCUAAAUCCCGAAAUUCAUGAAUUAUCCACAUUUAAUUAAAAUACCAGCUAUCCUAAUUUCAUAUAAUUUAUAAUCAGCCCAUAUCCAUUACCAAUUCCCAAUAUUUACAUGAAGUUUUACUAUUUUAACAAAUUAAUCCUUAAACAUUAAAAUCAUUAAAAAUCACUUAACAAAAUAAGCAUAUCUAACAAUCAAGCUUCCAACAAAACCAAUUAGCAUCAAAGACAUUCAAAAUCAUAAAUGGUAAAUUUCUAACUGUUUGACGAUUUCACAAAUUAAUCCUCAAUUUAGCUAGAUAUCAAAACAACCAUCACAAAUACACAAAAUUCAUGAAAAACAAGUCAAGAAAUACUUACAUGCAAAGAAAAAUAAAAAAUAAAAACCAAAGCUCCCUCCUUCCUACAAUGGUGUUCGGCUAAAGAAAUAAAAGAAUGAAGAUGAUGGAUGCUUUUGGUUGUUUUAUUUUAUUACUUUAACUUUUGUUUAAUUAAUAAACAUAUAUUAAAUUAUAAGUUUCUUUUUCUUUUCAAUCCCUACAUCCACUAACCGGCCAUAAUUCAUUAUUAUGGUCUAAUUGCAACAUAAACACUUGUAACUUUAAUAAUUUACCAAUUAAUACCUUUUUAACUAAUAAAACUCACUUUUACAACCUUUAUGAUUUAGUCCUUUUAAUUAAAUAACUAUUUAAAUGAUAAAAUUUCCUAAUGAAACUGUAAUAUAACCUUAAUAACAAUCUGUAAAUAUUUAAUAAAAUAUUUACUGGCUCGAUUUAUUGAAACGAGGUCCCGAUACCUCUUUUUCUAAAACUAGUUGACUUUAGUAUUUACCACUUGAACCUAAUUAUUCAUUCAAAUAAUAUAAAUUAUCAAAUAAAAAUUUAUUAUAAUACUAUAUUUGGCUCGUAAUUAUUAAAUAAUAAUAUUUACGAACCCACUCGUCAAAUUUGUGGCCCCGAACUUUAUCCUCAAUAUUUCUGACCUAAAAACAGUGCUGGUUAUUGUGUUCUGAAAGUCUCCUCGACUGUUAUGUUUCAACGAACUUGUUUUCGCUUCAUUCUGACCAUUAUAACGAGGUUCUACAUUUCUAUUCGUGUAUAGCUUCAAAUGAUAUCAUUAUAAUACAAGACUGAUAGAUGUUAUUAUAAAUGAAUACCAACCAUAAAUAUUUUCCAAAUUACCCCUGUUUGCGCCAUAGCUUUUUGAAUUUUAGACACAUACGACUCGUCUAGCUUUUAAACUAAUAAUAUGUUCUGACUGGAAUAAAAAACUUGAGUCAUUUUUAUUGAUCUGACAAUAAUAAUCCUGAUUGAUUCUCUCUUUCUCAACGUCAAAGAUAAUCCAGAUACAAAAUCCAUCAACUUGCAUUCAUAUCCCAUCAAAACUAUAAUAAACGGUAACAACUCAGACAAGACUUGAUGUUCAACUUUGACAUACUAGAUAUCUAGAUACAAACUCUAAAAUUUCAUAUUUUAAACUCAGCUAUCAACAACUAUGUCUUAAGACAUUUCAUGGUUUGUUACACUUGACUGAUUCAAAUAGACACUGUAAUAAGCCUUUCAUAAGAUAUCUCAUAUAAUCUCCUAUUUGUUCAAUACAUAUAUUUGAUCUAUUAACACAAUCCAUACUGUAUCAAUGAUCUAAUUAUUUUGAAUUUAUCCCAGUUUAACUAUCAAAUUCAAAUAUUUUCUUUGCAUCUCACAAACUUUCUGAAGAAUCAACGAUUUAACCCUUAUCUGUAUACUAAUCGAACGAACAUAAUUCAAGGUUACUUGAGUAAAACACUACUGUCGACAAUGAAUUUCUUCCCAGAUGUAGACAAAUUUUGAAUUGAAGCUUCUACCAAAAGAAUUUUUCAACUAGUUAGAACUUUGCUGAUACUUAUCUGAUCAAAGAAAUUUAACAGUUUCUUGUAAUAAAUUCAUCCUCGGUAAUACAAUUAUUGAAAAUUUCUUAAUGAAUCAUCUGUCGAGGUGGUAUCAAUUAAUCUGAAAAGCGUAAUCAACACUCGUAGUGUCCGUAACAACUUCUGAAUGCUACUUUCGGCACAUCUACAUCUUUAACUAACAACUGAUAGUAACUAGAUCGAAAAUUUAUCUUCAAGAACACUGUAACUUUUUUCAGCUGAUCGUACAAAUCUUCAAUACUGAACAACUAAUUAAAUUGAUCUUUCUUUUUACCAUACGUAUUCAACUGUUGAUAAUCUCUACACAAUCUAAUUAUCCCAUUUUCUCUUUUCUUCUUCAUUUUUUUUUUACGAACAGAAAAAAUGCAUCUUAAGGUGAUACACUCAUUCGAAUUAAACCUCCAUCAAUAGAUUCUUACAACUGAACUUUUAAUUCUUUUAAUCCAUUUGAAAUCGUUUUGUACAAAACGAUAAUAAUCGAAUUAGUCUUGGACAGUAAUUCAAUAGCAUGUCCGACUUCUCAUUCUGGUAGUAAACUUAGCAAUUUCUUCGGAUAAACAUCUGUAAACUCAUAAUCUAUCAGUACAUGAUCAACUGUCAUUUUUUAUACUCUAGAAUCUAGGACAUAUGCAUAAAAAUACAUCACAACCAGUAAUAAAAUCAGGGUUGAGGCCUCCUCCUGUGCAGGAAUCCCUUAAGUUUUGGCAGGUGCUUAAGCUUUAGAUUGAACGAGGGUAUCUUUAAUGUCACUUCUUCUAACUCCAAUGAUGCCACUAUUUCUUGGUUGUUCGUCUCUAAUAAGAAUAGCAACAGGCUUUACAUUCUGAUCUCUAUUUAAUUCAGUUCGACUUGUACAAUCUUUCUUGUAGAGAUCGGAAGAUCCACAAGUAAAGAAGGAUCUGCCUUUCUAUAUUCAUAUCUCAAAAUGAUUCCAUCCACAAAGACUAUAUUCAAGUUUAUUUACAUUUCUUACGCUACCUGCACUGGCUACUAAAGUCACUGGUGGUCUCACAAAACUUUAUUUCAUUUUAUCUCUGUUAAAAAACCCCGAUGGCACUAAAAACGGCUACUCGGUUCUUUCAUUUUUCUUUGACGGAAGUAGAAAACAUUCUAGAUACAUUUCGUUUAUUGAAGUCUUAAACCCUUGAUUCGCUCUAUUUCUAGUGAUAACAAGUUUCUUCAAUUUUCAAUUUUUUUUCUGAACUUGAUUAACUAAAAUUACUAACUCACGAAAUUCCAUUGCACACAAAAACAUUUUAAACUCAUUAAUCAUUCCGUCUUCACAACAAAUACAUAAUUCCUUUCCAAUUAGCAUCAUCAUAUAGCAUAUUUACUGAGCCUAACAAACUCUCACUCGUAUUCCGCAAUUGAUCUGAUUCCUUACUUCAGCACAAGAAAUUCCUUUUUAUUUUUGUCUAAAUAUCGUUUGCUAACAUCACUCUUUCAAAAAUUAAAUUAGAAGAAAUCCCAGUUAAUCUGUUGUUUCGAUACCAAAGUAAUAUCUUCAUAAAUAUUCAGGAAUUCAUAACAUUUCAUCUAAAGCUCUCUACGUUUGCUAACCAAUACUCGGCUCUGGAUGAAUCAUUACUCACUUUACCUCUAAACUCUAUAGCUCCACACUUUCGAACUUUAUCAAUAGAAACCCUAUGAAUAUUUUGUCGCAGGACUUUGACCACAAGGGAGUGAAGGUCGUAGAGUCACAAAAAUUUAUUUUUAUAUACACAAUAAAUAUAUUAUUGAUUAUUAAUAAAAAUAUUGUGAACCUUUUCUCUAGACUUCUUAAAUUUCAGCACAUUUUAGGCAUCCCCAUGAUUGGAGACUUGAACAUUGCUGACAACUUCAUCGCAAUUAGCUCGGUUGGAAGACAUAUUUUAUUUAUGUGAAAAAUAAAAUUCACUUGAGUCAGGAGACAUCACACUAUCAUAGGUUAUAAAAUGACAUGUAUUUCUAGUCUCCAUACAUGCUAGUUCAGUUUAAGAAUCGACUAAACCAUAGCUCUGAUACCACUAAAUGUAACACCCCUAACCCGUCUUGUCAUCGGGUUAGGGUUACAAAGUAUUACUGUACAAAAUAAAAUAUUUAACAUCGAAAAAGAAUCAACAUGCAAUUUAUAUAUUAACAUUUGAUAAAAUAAUUAAAUUAUAUCAUAAUUACUUUUUCAGCCUAAAAUCGAACCUAAGAGGCAUUAAAAAAUAGUUUGAAAAUAAUCAAGGACUUAUUUGAAACAAAUCAGAAAUUUCAGGCCAAACUUGAGAAUUUUCAAAAUAGGGGUCACAUGGUCGUGUGGCCAGGUUGUGUGGACAUUUAAACUACGGGACACACGACCGUAUCCCAACACGUGUGUCAAACUAUGUAACUCACUGACUUGGGUCACGGUCGUGUGCCAAACCUUGUGAAACUUGCACCUAAAUUAAUGACACACGGCAUAUGAUUACAACAAUGCAUUUAUAUUCAUCACCAAACAAUACUAGUCAAACAUUCAUCUAAUAUUCCUACUUGUGAUACAUAUCUCACCCAAAACAUGUUACCUAAAUAGCGAACCAUUGAAGGAUGAGAUACCGACCUUUUCGUUGAUAUCCUUUUCGACCUUUUCAUUUAUAUCAUUUUUAAUCUUCUUCAAUGGAUCGUUUAUAAAUCAUCAACAUGGAUCAAUCUAUUUUUGGCACUUGGUGCCGGACGGAUAAACCAUAACAAAGUUUAGUGCCUAGCGCUAGUCGGAUAAAUCGAAGAUAGGUGUGCCGUGCACUAGUCGGAUAAACCGACAAUGUUUCAUGCCCAGCGCUAGUUAGAUAAACUGAAGAUAUCAAAUGUGUGUCCAGCACUAGUCGGAUAAAUUGAUAAUGUUUUGCACCCGGCGAUAGUAGGAUAAACUGACGAUAUCAAAUGUGUGUCUAGCACUAGUCAGAUAAACCGACAAUGAUUUUACACCCAGCGCUAGUCGAAUAAACCAAAAUAUACAUACGUAAUUACUUCAUUCCAUAUUUCUUCAGUUCAUAAUUUAAAUCCUUUACAUUAAUCUUCUAUAUUAAAUUUCUAUAACUCACUCCAUAACCAUUUUCAUAUAUAUAUUUCCAUAGCAUUACAUUUAAAAUACUAAUCAAUAGCAUUACAUUUAAAAUACUAAUCAUUUGAAUAAAUAUAAUUGACUAUCUAAUUAACUAAUAAUCAAACUAAUUAAAUAAAUAAUGUUCAAAUUUAAGGACUACGAACUUACCUGAACUCAAAAAUGACUUUUAACAUGAAUCAACUACUAUUCUGCUACUUUGGAUUUUUUGAGAUUUGUGUUUGUUCGAGUUGUUUCUUGAUUUAGAUAAAUAUUUUUAUUCAAUUAAUCUCAUUCCAACAUUUAAAAUAAUUACUUCAAUCUUAAAACCCUUAUCUUUAAGAAUUUACUAAAUUACUCCCAAUAUUUUAGCCUUUUUGCAAUUUAGUCCUAAAUCCUGAAAUUCAUUAAUUAUCCACAUUUAAUCAAAAUACCAGCUAACCCAAUUUCAUAUGAUUUAUAAUCAGCCCAUAUCCAUUAUCAAUUCCCAAUAUUUACAUGAAGUUUUACUAUUUUAAUAAAUUAAUCCUUGAACAUUAAAACCACUAAAAAUCACUUAACAAAAUAAGCAUAUUUAACAAUCAAGCUUCCAACAAAACCAAUUAGCAUCAAAGACAUUCAAAAUCAUCAAUGGUAAAUUUCUAAAUGUUUGAUGGUUUUACAAUUUAAUCUUCAAUUUAGCUAAAUAUAAAAAAAAACUAUAACAAAUACACAAAAUUCAUGAAAAACAAGUAAAGAAAUACUUACAUGCAAAGAAAAAUAGAAAAACCAAAGCUCCCUCCUUCCUACAAUGGUGUUCGGCUAAGGAAAUAAAAGAACGAAGAUGAUGGAUGCUUUUGGUUUUUUUUAUUUUAAUACUUUAACUUUUGUUUAAUUAAUAAACAUAUAUUAAAUUAUUAGUUUUUCUUUUCUUUUCAAUUCCUUCAUCCACUAACUAGCCAUAAUUCAUUGUUAUGGUCUAAUUGCAUCAAAAACUCUUGUAACUUUAAUAAUUUAUCAAUUAACACCUUUUUAACUAAUAAAACUCACUUUUGCUAUCGUUACGAUUUAUUCUUUUUUAAUUAAUUAACUAUUUAAAUGAUAAAACUUUCUAACGAAACUAUAAUAUGACCUUAAUAACACUCCGUAAAUAUUUAAUAAAAUAUUUACAGGCUCGGUUUAAAGAAAUGAGGUCCUGAUACCUCAUUUUCUUAAACCACUUAAUUUUAGGAUUUACCACUUGAACCUAAUUAUUCGUUCAAAUAAUAUAUAAUAUCAAAUGAAAAUUUAUUAUAAUACUAUAUUUGGCUCGUAAUUAUUAAAUAAUAAUAUUUACGAAACUCAUCGGAUUUGUGGCCUCGAAGCGACUUGGGAGUCAGAAGAAAUGAUGAGAUCUCAAUAUCCUCACCUCUUUUCAGAUAAAUUUUAGGGACGAAAUUUAUUAAGGGGUAGAGAAUUGUAGCAACCCAAAAGUCAGUUGUGUCGAGAAGUGUAUUUUUGGAGUCUCAUUUUCGUAAACUGGGCUCGUAAAUAUUUUUAUUAAAUAUUCAUAGAGUUAUGUUAGAAGUAAAUUAAAUUUCAGUUAGGUAAUUUCAUUGAAUUAGAUUUUUUUUUAAGUAUAGGAAUUUAAUUGAAUAAGUGUUAAAAUUUUAAUUUUUAAUUAAAUCAUAAGUGAACAUCUAACAAGGGGCUUAUUAGGUAAAUAAACCAUUAAUCUAGUUAUUGGACGUAUCAUGAUAGCUUGGAUUAAAAUAUGUUAUAAGUUUUAUUAUUAUAAUAAAACAUAAGUUAAAUUAUUAAUAUUAGAUAAUAAUGAAAUGAAAGGAUAAAAAUUAGAAAACAAAUAGUUUAGUGGAAAGAGAAAUAAAUAAAGGGAAGCUUUUUGUUCUUCUUUGCAUGCCGACAAUUGAGAAGGAAGGUUAGCACCAUUCGGCCGUUGUUGUUUAUGUUUUAAAGUUCAAAUUGGUUGGUAUGUGUUGAUUCAUUUUAAUUAAAUUUUAUAUUUUUUGGUUUGUCGUUGAAAGCACAAAAAUAACCUAUCCCUAAGAAAUAACAAAAAGAAUAGUACAAGGGAGGGUCAAAUCCUCUGGGACCGAAUCACUACAACUUCUUGUUCCUUGAAAUCUUGGGCACAGUCGUGCUCAAGAAAAACGUCUUACCUGGGAAAAAAAUAAAAAUAGAAUUAAAAAUAUGGACGAGUUGAAAUUGAAUAAAUUGAAAUUAUAAUUGUAAAAAGAAACAAAGUUAAGGGAAGGGGAUUUUCGAUUUGAGGGAUUUCAGCCUCUGAUUAUUUCGAUCCUCCUUAGAUUCAAUCAUAGGCUUUUAGGUGAUCCUUCUCAUGAUCGAAUAAGCAAGUUAUAGUGAAAGAGGACGCCUAUGACCACUAGCUCCACUUAGGUUUUAGACUUACGAUUUAGAGGAACUUGACUCUACCCAACCGUCACUUUUGUGGGACCGUCUUACACUAGAUCAUCAUUUCUCAAUGGCGACUGACACGCAAUUUCGUCUUUUGGGAUCGACAACCACUGAUGAAGUAAGUUAGCGAACCGACUGUGCAACCUUCCCAACACAUACAAAGCAGUCGCCUUUGCACAAGAUGAAAAGAUUACUUUUGGAAGGACAUGAAUGGAAGCGUCAAUCCCGUAAUACAGAGAAAUGAUGAAUACUCGUUGAGAAGGGUUAAUUGCGGAUUCUAAGCCUCAUGAACUUUGUUGGAGGAGUCUUGAUAACCUUUGGCUAGAUGAAUUUAGUGGCUCAUGCUUUUUGGGAAAAAAACACAAGUUUAAUGGAAUGUAAUUUUAUUGGAAAGUAAAAAGGAACAAAAACGCUAAGAGCCUUAGGGGGAGGAGUGUUUUUACAGAAGUGAUGAGUGAAUAUUCAUGUCACUCCAUCCCUAUUUAUAAUACAUAAAAAACUUAGUUUAUUCAUAUUUAAAUUCUAGAUGAUAAUGUUUGAAAGAUAUAAUUUGAAAUUAAAUAUAAACAAUAUCAUAAUAAUUCUAAUAAUAAUCCUAAAAAUAAAAUUCAAAUUUAAAUAAAGUUUUGUGUUCAUAAAUCUCUUCUUUGAAUUUUUGACCCAAGUCUUCCACACUUUAUAUUUUCGGCACCAUUUCUUCCCUAUUUCGCAUGCUGACCUAUUUUGUCUUUAAAUUCAUGCUUUUUGUCCCUAAAUUUCCUUUUGCCUUCCAUUUAGUCCCUACAAGAUAAAGAACCAUAAACAGCCCAAAUUAGUAGGAUCAUACUCAAAAUAUGUAUGUAAUUAACACAUAAAAGUAUGUCAUUUUAGAGUAUUAUCAUAUUCCCCCUACUUAGCCCAUGCUUGCCCUCAAGUAUGGUUCCUAUCCCACUAUGUAAUUUAGAUUUUAUCAUGAAAGAAGUAGCAAUCCAAAGUUUUAUAAAAAUUAGGCAUAAUGCAUAUGAAAAAUAAAGAGAACCUUUAGCUUGAUUUAAGUAAAACCAAAAAGUAUUCCAACUUAAACACACAAAAGUUAAAUCGACUUGGAUUAUUUCAUGAAAAUUAGGUAAUUUACUAAACUUACCAAGACACCUUAUUUGUUCCACCCUUAGUCCCUAAAUGAAAUUCUUUUUUUUUUCUUAAGAAUGUAUUGGCCCUUUUGACGCGAAGAGGGAUGACAACCCAACCACCCCACUCCAAUUACUCAGACCAACACACUCCUAUUUUAUUAUUAUUAUUUGGUUAAAAAUGUUUGGCCCUUUUGACGAAAAUUGAAUAAGUGUUAAAAGUUGAAUUUUUAAUUAAAUCACAAGUGAACAUCUAACAAGGGGCUUAUUAGGCAAAUAAACUAUUGAUCUAGUUAGUGGACUGUAUCAUGAUAGCUUGGAUUAAAAAUAUGUUAUAAAUUUUAUUAUAAUAAAACAUAAGUUAAAUUAUUAAUAUUAUAUAAUAAUGAAAUGAAAGGAUAAAAAUUAGAAAACAAAUAGCUUAGUGGAAAGAGAAAAAUAAAUAAAGGGAAGCUUUAUGUUCUUCUUUGCAUGCCGAAAAUUGAGAAAGAAGGUUAGCACCAUUCGGCCAUUGUUGUUUAUGCUUUGACGCUCAAAUUGGUUGGUAUGUGUUGGUUUUUUUUAAUGAAAUGUUAUAUUUUUGGAACCUUAAAGAUAAUGUAGCCUACUCAUAUUGAAAAUUUGAGAAUUAAUGAUAUUUGUGGAAAUUGUCAUUGUUGAGAAAUUCAAAUCCUUGGUGUUAAUUUAUUGGGUUUUAAAUUUGGGAGUCAUUUAUUGAAUGAUUCUUGAUUUUUUAAAGUUAAGGACUUAUUUAUAAAACUGAUAAACUGAUAAACUCAAGGAUUAAUUUGUGAGUUAAUGAAAAAUAUGAAUUGUGUUUAACCUUUGGAAAAAAAUUUGAAAUGGUUAGUACGAUAUUUUGUUGAUUGUCCUUGAAUUUCAUGAUUUUUAAUUGAGGAAUUAAUUUAUAUUAAAAGUUUAUGUUGAGAGCAAAUUUAGAAAAUGUAAUUAAAAGUUUAAUGCUUUGUGUAUAAAUAUUUUAGGUGGUUGAAUUAAGUAAAUUAUUUAAGUUAUUGAUUUUAGAUCAAGAAGCAAGAGGAUCUGUUGAUAACGGUGGAAAGGAGAAGGUUGUCGAGUAAUCAUCUUCGAUUUUAGUAGCUAUCAUAAUAUGGUAAGUUCAUAGUCUUUGACUCAAAUUGUUUGUUUAAUUUAAUUAUUUGGUUGAUUUUAAUAUCAAAUUAUAUCUUUUAAUAUAAUCGGUUACAUUUAUCAAAUUCAUAUCAUAGAAUAAUAUAUGAAUCAUUAUGAGAUAGAUAAAAAAAAUGUUACCAUGGUUGUUGUGAUUGAUUAAAUUAUGAAAUGUGAUAAUGAUGACUUAAUUCUUGGCGAGCAAAUAUUUGUCGAUUAAUCCGACUAGUGUUGGGCACACAUUUAACAUCGUCGGUUCAUCCGACUAGCGCAGGGCGCAAAUAUUUGUCAUUUAAUCUAAGUAGUGUUGGGCACACAUUUAACAUCGUCGGUUCAUCCGACUAGCGCUGGGCACAAAUAGUUGACGGUUAAUUCGACUAGUGUUGGGCACACAUUUAACAUCGUCGGUUCAUCUGACUAGCGCUGAACGCAAAUCUUUGUCGAUUAAUUCGACUAGUGCUGGGCACACUUUUACUAUCGUCGGUUUAUCCAACUAGCACUGAGUGCAAAAUUUAUUACGAUUUAUUCGUCAGGUACUAGGUGUCAAUAACAGGUUGGUUAAAAUUAAUAUAGUUUAACUUAUUUCUGGAAGAUGGUUGGUAAAUGAGAGAUUUCAUGAAUUUUGUAUGAAAUGUUCAUGAGUAAAUUAUGGUAUAUUAUGCGGUAAUAACCAUUACAAAUUAGAUAUUUGAAUUGAUGGAUUAUUAAACUUAUAUGUAGUUCUUGUAUUAAGGAAAUUAUUUAGUAAUUGAUCAUUCUUUGUGUGUGCAGGUUAGGUACUUAUAUUUUGACUAUUGACUCAGCAUCCAACAACAAAUCCUAAACUCAACGUUAGUGAUAUAUUUCUUUUUGUUGUGUCUUGGCAUGUACCUAGGGUGAUAAAUUUUUGGGAAACGAUUUUUUGGUAUAUAGUUGAAUUUAGUAUAGGUUAUUUGUUUUGGGUGUUGCCAUAUAAGCUUUGAAUUAUAUUUUGCCUUAAAAGUAAAUGCUUGUAUAUAUAUAGAUGCGGUUAAUAUAAGUAUGUUUUUAUUAAAUUGACUCUUUUGAAUGCAUAUGUUAUAUGUUAAGUGAUAUUGAAUGAGAUAAAUUGGAUUGGUGGUUAAUGAUCUUUAGGUGUAUGUUUGUGUAUUUUUGGGUGAAAGAUGUUGCAUAUGGUUGAUGUUUUAGAUCCUAUAGAAUUGGCUCUUUAGAUGUAAAUGAAUUUGGUCAUUUUGGUUCGUUUUUUAUAUGGUAGGAUAGAGUAAUUAAAUUUGAUGAUAACUUAAUUGUGAUGUAAGAUGAAUGUAUGAUUUGAUCAAGGUUAAAUGCUUUUGUAUAUGUUGAUUAGAAUGUGGUACCAAUGAGGGCACAUUGGUUAGGCACCUAGGUUGUAUGAAAUUGGCAUGUUUUGAGUUGUUUUGAAGAGUAUUUGAUGAUGUUUAGAGUAUGGUUUUAGGCUUGAAUUGUUAACCAAGUUAUGCGUGAUUAUUUCCUUAUUUUUUAAGUAAAUUUUGGUACACAUGGCCUGGGACACAGGCUGCCACAUGGCCGUGUGUCUCAUAUUUUCAAAAUUUUCAAAUUUUUUCCUAAAUUUUCUGUUUUGUUUUGAAUUAACCCCAAAAUGUUUCCAAUACAUUUUUUAGGGCCCCGUAAACUCAUUUUAAGGCCCAUAAACGUAUUUUUAUUGUGAAUGGAUUGUGAUUUGAUAAAUUGUAAUUAUAAUUCAAUAUUUAUUUGUAAGUGGCGUUUAAUGUUAGAAAUGUUAUCGUAAUACUCCAUGACCCUAAUCUGGCGACAAAGAUUGGUUAGGGAUAUUACAUUUAGUGGUAUCAAAGCUAUAGGUUUAAUCGAUUCUCGAACUAAAUCGAGCUUAAAAUUGAGUCUAGAAGUACAUGCCAAAGUUGAAUUGAAUUUGAGUCGGGAUUGGAUGUUGAUUAAUAUUAUCCCUAUCUUAUAGUUAAAAGAUGUCAGAAGAUGCUAAUAAUGCAGUGGACCAAGGAAUUCAUAUUGGUGAUGAUUCUAUUGAGGAAUUUGAUGAAACUGAGUUAGUAACACCGAGUAUUCAGUUUGAUGGUGAUCAACAACCAGGUCCUAAAAUAGGCACUAAUGAAGGACAAAAUGAUACUAAUAUAUUACGAGUCAUUGCGAAAGCUUUUCAAAGGGUAGUGGGAGUCACUUCUCCAGUAAUACCCGCACAUAUGAUUAAACGAGCUCCUAUAAAGAAUUGAGGAGAUACGAUGCUAUAGAAUUUGCGGGAUUAAAAGGUGUUGAUUCAUCAAUGGUUGAAAUGUAGCUGGAAUUAACUACUCGAGUUCUUUAACAACGUGAAUGUACUUCCGGAGGAGAAGCUUACACAUGGUGGCAAAUCAUCACGCGACAUGUUCCUACAGAGGCUAUAGAUUGCAAAUUCUUUCAAGCGAAAUUUCAAAAGAAAUAUGUCAGGGAACUAUAUCUCGAGGAUCAAAAAUAGGAAUUUUUUUUGUUGAAGCAAGAAGAUUCAUCUAUGGUAGAUUAUGAAUGAUAAUAUGUCUAUCUUAGCAAGUAUGCUAUGGAACUUAUCCCUACCGAAUAAGCAAGUUGUAAGUCUUUCUUGUGGGAAAUGCGAGAUGAAAUUUGAACUCAGCUAGUAGCAUUAAAAAGUAAGGGGUUCGAUGAUCUGUCUGAAUGGGCAAAAUGCUAAAACAACCCUUGGGAUUAUGUAAGAAAUUUGAACCUUCUCGUGUUAUGAGAAAGGAUUUUAGGACUCCUAGUUCAUAUUUAGUACCAAAGAAAAGCAAAGGGUCUUGAGAUUUUGGAAAGACAGUUGCAAGAUCGGCGACAUUGAAUAGAAUACGAUACUUGCAACCUACAAUUUCUUAAAUGCCGAUCUGCGAACAUUGUGGUAAGAAGCACUGGGGAAAAUGUUAGAAAUUGACAAAGGGUUAUUACCGUUAUGGAUCGUUGGAGCAUUUCACUCGUGAGUGUCUGAAGAAUGAAAAUAAUACACCUGAUGACACACAGAGAACCACCUCUACAGUUAAGGGUCGAGGGAUGAGUAGAGAUGGAUUAGUUACGAGAGGUGGACCGAAAAAAUAAAGGAAAGCAAUCACUCAUCAGCUUGAGGCCAGAGCGCUAGCUCGUUCUUAUGUUGUGCAGACACGUGAUAAGGAGAUGCUACCAAUGUUGUAGCAGGAAUUUUUUUUGUUCUUCUCUACACCUGUUUAUAGUUUGAUUGAUCUUGGUUAUUCCUAUUCGUAUGUUAAUACCGACCUAGUGAAAUCUGGGAGUAUGAAAUCUGAGUUGUCAAAAGUAGCCAUGUUUGUAUCAUGUCCGUUGGGCGAAACAUUGUUAGUUAAUCAGGUCUGUAAACGAUGUCCACUGAAAAUUUAAAAUUUGACAUUUUCAGUAGACUUAUUAAUCAUGCCUUUUGGUGAUUUUGACACAAUACUGGGUAUGAACUGGCUAACUGAACACAGAGUAGUUCUCGACUAUUGGAAGAAAAAUUUUUAGUCCAAGAUUCGAAUAGUAAGAUUAUUGAAGUUAAUGACGUUAAAACGAGUGGUUUAACUCAAAUUAUUUUUUUGAUCCAAGUUGAUAAAUUAUUGCAGUUAGGUUGUGAAGUUUUCCAGCUUAUGUUAUAAAUUCAAUGACUAGGAUAGCAAAAUCAUUAAUAUUCAAACUGUUUGUGAAUUUUCUGAUGUGUUUCUUAAGGAAUUCUCGGGAUUACCACCUAAUCGGGAGGUUGAAUUCACAAUUUAAGUAUUCUCUGGUAUAACUCCGGUGUCAACACCCCCUUAUCGUAUGGCACCGGUUGAACUAAAGGAAUUGAAAAUUCAACUACAAGAAUUACUGGACCGCAGCUUUAUACGUCCUAGUAUAUCGCCCUGGGGAGCUCCAGUUUUGUUCAUUAAAAACAAAGAUGGUUCGAUUCGAGUUUGUAUUAACUAUCGUCAAUUGAAUAAGUUGAUAAUUAAGAAUUGGUACCCUCUUCCUCGUAUCGAUGAUUUGUUUGAUCAGCUAAAGAGAGCUUUAGUCUUUUCUAAGAUUGAUUUAAGAUCAGGUUAUUAUCAGUUGAAAGUGAAAGAUAGUGACGUACCGAAAACUGCCUUCGUUAUGGCCACUACAAAUUUUUAAUGAUGCCCUUAGGAUUGACGAACGCUCCUGUGGCAUUUAUGGAUCUCAUGAACUGCAUCUUUUAGCCCCACCUGGAUCAGUUCGUGGUAGUUUUUAUUGAUAAUAUUUUGAUCUAUUCAAAAUCGGAAGCUGAACAUGAACAACAUUUACGUAUUGUUUUACAAGUGUUGUGAGAAAAAAAACUCUACAAGAAACUUAGUAAAUGUGAAUUUUGGCUAUCAGAAGUAGUACUUCUGGGUCAUGUCAUUUCUGCAGACGAGAUUGAUCCAAAAAAGAUUGAAGCCAUAAUUCAGUGGAAAGCACUGAGGAAUGUGUCAGAAGCCCAUAGUUUUCUUGGUUUAGCUGAUUAUUACCAAAGAUUUGUUAAUGGAUUUUCUAAGAUAGCCUUGCCGAUGACAAAGUUGUUGCAAAAGAACAUACAGUUUGUUCGGAACGAGCAGUGCUAAGAAAGUUUUGGGAAACUGAAACAAAUGUUGAUUGAAGCACCAGUUUUAACUUUACCGAAAUCAGGAAAAAGACUUGGUGGUUUACAGUGAUGCCUCAUUGAGUUUUUUGGGUUACGUCUUGAUGUAAGAAGCGAAGGUUAUUGCAUAUGUGUCUCGGUAGUUAAAAACGCAUGAAUGCAAUUAUUUGAUACAUGAUUUAAUGUUUGCUGCUAUAGUUUUUGCUCUAAAGAUUUGGAGGUAUUACCUGUACGGUGAAAACUGUCAUAUAUUCACUGAUAAAAAAGUCUUAAAUAUCUCUUAACUCAAAAAGAGUUGAAUUUAAGAUAACUUCGUUGGGUUGAGCUAUUGAAAGAUUAUGAUUGUGUUAUAGAUUACCACCCUGGUAAAGCUAAUGUCAUUGCGGAUACGUUGAGAAAAAAGCUGUAGUUGAGCUGCGAGCGAUGUUUGCUCAACUCAAUACUAAUAGUGACGGUAGUUUACUUGCUGAGUUGAAAGUCAAACCAGUGUUAUUUGAUCAGAUUAGAGAAGCACAGUUAGUGGAUAACAAGUUGGUUGAAAAGAGAAAAAUGGCUCAAGACGGCUCAAUUGGAAAUUUUAGCAUUGAUGAUUGUGAUUGUCUGCGAUUUCGUAAUCAAAUUUGUAUUCCAAAUGUUGCUGAGUUAAAAGAAUUGAUACUUGGUGAAUCUCAUGAGAGCCCUUUUGCUUUACACCUUGGUGAAACGAAGAUGUAUCGCGACCUUCAAGAGUUAUACUGGUGGCCUGACAUGAAAAGGGAAAUUGUUGAAUUUGUAGCUAGAUGUCUAACCUGUCAACGGGUUAAGGUGGAACAUCAAGUCCCCAAAAGAUUACUUCAAUCUAUUUUUAUUCCUGAAUGGAAAUGGGAGCGUAUAACAAUAUAUUUCAUGACAAGAUUACCAUUGUCCCGGGGAAAGAAAAAUGUUGUUUGGGAGAUAGUUGAUUGACUUACGAAAUCGACCCAUUUUAUUACAGUCAGAACCAAUUGGUCACUUCUGAAACUUGCUCAGAUUUACAUUUAGGAGAUUGUUAGAUUGCAUGGCAUACCUAUGUCAAUUAUCGUUGAUCGGGAUCCCUGAUUCACUUCGAGAUUUUGGAAACGGUUGCAUGAAUCACUCAGUACAAGACUCAAUUUUAGCACGACUUUUCAUCCGCAAACGAAUGGGCAAUCUGAGUGUGUUUUUCAGAUUUUAGAAGAAAUGCUUCGAGCCUGUGUAAUUGAUUUUGAUUCAGAUUGGGAACAUUAUUUACCGUUGGCUGAGUUUUUGUAUAAUAAUAGUUUCUAAUCGAGUAUUCAAAUGGCUCCGUAUGAAGCCUUAUAUGGUCGCAGAUGUCAAACCCUUGUCUGCUUAUUAGAAUUAAGUGAGAAGAAAGUAGUUGGACUGGAAUUAAUCCAAGAAAUGGAAAAUAUGGUUAAAGUGAUUCGAGAUAGAUUGAAAGCAACUUCCAAUAGACAAAAAUCUUAUACAGAUUUGAAGCGACGAGACAUUGAUUUUGCUAUAGGUGAUAAAGUAUUUUUAAAGAUUUCACUGUGGAAGAAAUUUUUGUGAUUUGGUCGAAAAGGGAAAUUGAGUCAUCAUUUUAUAAGACUGUAUGAACUUAUUGAAAGAAUUGGACCUAUUGCUUAUCGGUUGGUAUUGCUUUUAGAAUUGCAGAAAAUGCAUGAUGUUUUCUACGUGUCCAUGCUUAGGAGAUAUCAUUCGAAUCCGUCUCACAGUAUUUCAAUAGAAGAUAUAGAAAUUCAGCCUGAUUUAUUUUACAAAGAAAAACUGGUUGAAAUUUUAGCUCGUGAGGUGAAGGAGUUGCAUAACAAACAUAUUCCUCUUGUGAAAGUUUAUUGGUGUAGUCAGAGCAUCGAAGAAGCAACUUGGGAGUCAGAAGAAACGAUGAGAUAUCAAUAUCCUCACCUAUUUUCAGGUAAAUUUCGGGGACGAAAUUUAUUAAGGGGGAGAGAAUUGUAACAACCCGAAAGUCAGUUGUGUCGGGAAGCAUAUUUUUGGAGUCUCAUUUCCAUAAACCGAGCUUGUAAAUAUUUUUAUUAAAUAUUCACGGAGUUAUGUUAGAAGUAAAUUAAAUUUUGGUUAGGUAAUUUUAUUGAAUUAGAGUUUUUCUUAGGUAAAGGGAUUUAAUUGAAUAAGUGUUAAAAGUUGAAUUUUUAAUUAAAUCAUAAGUGAACAUCUAACAAGGGGCUUAUUAGGUAAAUAAACCGUUGAUCUAGUUAGUGGAUAGCUUGGAUUAAAAAUAUGUUAUAUGUUUUAUUAUUAUAAUAAAACAUAAGUUAAAUUAUUAAUAUUAGAUAAUAAUGAAAUGAAAGGAUAAAAAUUAGAAAACAAAUAGCUUAGUGGAAAGAGAAAAAUAAAUAAAGGGAAGCUUAUUGUUUUUCUUUCCAUGCCGAAAAUUAAGAAGGAAGGUUAGCACCAUUCAGCCAUUGUUGUUUAUGUUUUAAAGCUCAAAUUGGUUUGUAACCUCCUAAACCUAGCCUAGACGUUAUUGUCGAAUCGGGAAGGCCACAUUAAACACCUAGGCUAGGUUAAAAAACCAAAUAAUAAUAAUAUAACCUAAAAUAUAAUUAAGUUAAAAUAAUAUGAUAGUUAAAAACCUAAAAUAUCACUAAUUUAAUCUCGAACAGUCCCAAACCAUAGUUUUAAGAAACUUUACAAUCCAAAACCAAAUAAUAAUAAUAAUAAUAUAACCUAAAAUAUAAUUAAGUUAAAAUAAUAUGACGAAGUAAAGUCCAAAGUAUGUCGUAUAUCCACAUGCCAAUUUUGAUCCUAAGUUCGAUCAUUACCUGAGAAGUUGAGAUAAUGGGGGAGCUUAACAAGCUCAGUGUGAGUCUAAACGAUUAUUAAGCAUUCAUACAUGCAAUUUCAUAGAGGUACCAAUAGCACAAUCAAACAUUGAUAGUAAUAAUUUUCAAAUGCACAUGAUCGUGAAAAAUGCACAUGUGAGAUCCUACCCAUACCAUCUGCUACACACCACGAGUUCCCUAGAACCUGUCUGCCAAACUCCAACGUAUGUGAGCAAUGCUCGAUGCGGUAAAACCACCAAUAAUCAAUAAUGCAGUGAAACUGCCAACUUAAUAAUGCGAUAUAAUUGCCAAUGCCCUCGGCACCUCAAAUGCAGUGCACUGACUAAAAAUAGAUGUGAACUUAUUAUGUCACUGGUACUCCACGGAACUCCUCCGUCAACCACAAAAUCCCAUCCCAAUGCACAUGCAAUAUGUCAUACAAAUUCAUACACAAUCACAUUUCAAUACUUUUCACAUUUAUUCGACAUGCUCAACAUGUCCUCAAUAACCACAUACUGUUGAAAUAUGUAUAUGUUUUAAAUUUAUUUAGGUAGAUAAAUCUUAUUUAGGUAUAUAAGCUUUAUUUAUAUUCUAGAAAUAUUUUAUUUUAUCUUUUAGUAGUCUAUUAGAAUAAGGGAAUUAUUUUCCCAAUUAGGAUUACGACCUUUUUCUCUAUUUAAAUUCAGUUCUUUAGCUAAUAAAAAAUAUAACAGUUUUAUUAAAAGCUCUCUUGAAAACUUUCAUGGUAUCAGAGCAAGGUUAAAUUCUAGCAACAUCAUGGUUAAGACAGUAAUAGCCCGAUUUUGGGUCUAGUCAGAAUAGUAGUUUUGGGACCACAAAUCUGACGAGAAAAAUUAUUUUAAUAUUAUUUUUUGUAUUUAUAGCAUGUGAUUAUAUAUGUGUGAAAGUUACGUAAAGAAAUUUUACUGUUUGAAUGCUUAAUUCGGUAAAAAGGACUAAAUCAUGUAAAGAGUAAAAGUUGUGUUCUAUAAGCUAAAAGUGUCUAAUAGCUAUACAACAUUAAAGUUUAAGUCCUGAUAUGGUAAUUAGACCAUAAAUGGUGAUAGUGGAAUGUGUUGGCUUGGCAUUUUUUAAAUUAGUAAUAUUUUAUAAGGUUAUAAAGGUAAACUAAUUAAUAAUGAUAAAAUAACAUGAGAAUUAUAUGUCCAUCUUCUUAACAAAAACACUUCAACCGAUUCUAACAUAGAGAAACCAUAGCUGGGGUUCAGCCAUGCUUAUUUUGCUUGAUUGGUAAGAUAUUUUGUCCCGUUUUUAAUUAUUUCUAUGUUUUUGAAAUUGUUGUUUCGUGUUCUAGCUAGCCCAUGCCCUAAUUUUUGAAUUGGUUGAUGAAUUUGUGAGUUUCCAUUGAUGAUAGCUUGAUGUUUUUGAAUGUUGAUGAUGGAAAAUGAAUAAUUGUUGAUAGAUUAAUAUGUUUUGUAAAGUGAUUUUUGACAAAAAUGUCAAAUAGGGAUUAAAUUGUGAAAUAUGCAAAUUGAGUGGUUGAAAUGUGAAAUAAUGAAAGUUUUGGGCUACUGGGGGCACUAUAGUAAUUCGGCUUAGCUUGGGUUAUAUUGAAUUGUGUGAAUUUUGUGAAUUUUUGAAAUAAAGACUAAAUUAAAUAAAUGUGAAACUUUAGGGGCUAAAGUGCAAAAAUGUCCAAAUAGGUAUUUUUGGAUGAAAUUGAAUGAAUAGGUGAUUAAAUGAGUUAAAUUUGAAUUCAUAUAGAUCAAGAAAGAAAGAAAUCGGAUUUAGAUCAGGAGAAAUUAAAAGUUGACGAGUAGUUGAUCUGAUCCGUUUGUUUCCGUACGAGGUAAGUUCAUAAGUAAAUAAAUAUUUUUGAAUUUAAAAGUAUAUAUUUUAUACAUUGCCGAAUUUGAUUUGUAUAUAGAUAUGCAUUGCCGAAUUUGAUUUAUAUAUGGUUAUACAUUGUCAAAUUUGAUUUGUAUAUGGAUAUACAUUGCCGAAUUGAUUUGUAUGUAGAUAUACAUUGCCGAAUUUGAUUCGUAUAUGAAUAUAUAUUUCUGAAUUGAUUUGGGCAUUGGAUGACUGAUUUCGUGCAUGAAUUGAUUUAAUUUCAAAGUCGAAAGCUCCGAAUGAACCUUAGUAAAUGUAUUGGAUAUUGAUGUCAUGAUAUUAGGACUUCCGAGGUGUGAUUUCAUGUAAGACCAUAUUUGAGCUAUUGGCAUCAAUUUGACAUUUCGUGUAAGACCAUAGCUGGGCUAUUGUCAUCGAUACGAGAUUUCCAUGUAAGACCAUGUCUGGGACAUGGCAUUGGUACGAUACAUUAUGUACGACUUUUCCCAAGUACCCUUAGUGUUCCAAGGGGUUCAACGGGUAAUCCAAAGAUCAUGUCAAAGAAAAGACAAGGUAUGAUCAUGUUGAAAGGAUACAGGUAUGUACGAAAAAUUCAUGAGUAAUGAACUCGAUGCAUAUUGGACAUUUUGGAAAGAAUGUAAAUGAGUAAGUCAUACUUAUGAGAAUGAUCUUGUGACGACCUUGUGAUUAUAAGUCUAUACUUAUGAGGUAUAAAUAUGUGGUAAAUUUGAUUGAUGAAUGUGUGAGGCUUUUAGGCCAAAUUAAAUUGAGACAUGAUAUGUUUAAGUCUUUGUUGUUGGUGUAUAGGUGAGAUUGGCCAAUAAAUGACAUGUGAAUAUAUGAUAAUGAUUAGCUAUUGGAGUGGCUAGUUAUGGAUAUGCUUUGGUGUUAUGUGUGUAUAAAUAAAUGUUAAUACAAAGAAAUCAUGAAAGAGUAAAAUUUGCAAUAAAACAGUUUUGGACAACAGCAGUUGUAUAACUUUGAAAAAUAACCAAAAAUUGUGGAAAUCGCAUUAGAGGUUGAAUAAGACAUGAAAUUAGAGGUUAUUGAUCUAGUUUCACAUAGAAUAAACGGUGUAAUCAAAAGAAUCUCAUAUUAUGAGAUAUUUGAAUUUUUGUAAGAUAAGGUCAGAAUGAUUUCGGAAUCCCUUGUUCUGACUUUGGAAAAUCAUUAAAAAUUGUAUAAAAAUAAUUAUGGGUUAGAAUUUAUAUGAUUAAAAUUAUUAAUGAGUCUAUUUUCAAUAGAAACAAAUGGGAACAUCAUCCAAAUUUCGUACUAAGAUAUAAUUAAUUUUUAGAGAAGAAAGGUCAGAACUGUCAGACAGUAGAACAGGGACGACUUUGAAGAAUUAACUGUACUUAUUGGCUAAACCAAAAAUUCAUGGGUAAAUAUGAGCUUUAGAUGAUAAAGGAUUUAAUAGAAGUGCAUAAUUGAAGUUGAGGUCCUUAAAUGGUAAUUAGACCAUUAUAUUUUCAUGGACAAAAAUGGGCAUGCAUAGAUAAAAAUAACUAAAGUUUUAAUGAAGGGCAUUUUCGUCAUUUGGUAAUAAAAAGAAUUAAAAGGGAAAAGGAUGGCAAAAUGUGCUCAUCUUCUUCCAUAAGGGCCGAAACUUCAAGGGACUCCAUAACUAGGGUUUUUUCACCUUCUCAAGCUUAUAGUAAGUGCAUCCAAGCCCCGUUUUUAAUUUUUUCUAUGUUUUUGGAGUCCACGUAGCUCAGUUUAGCUUAUUCUACCAUUAAUUCAUGUUAGGGUUUAUAUUUGGAAAAAUACCCAUAGGUGAAAUGUGUUUAUUUUAAUGUUUUAUAGUAGAAUAUGAAGUUUUAAAUUAUGUUAAACAACUUUUGCUAGGCGAUUUUAAGUGAAAACGAGUAAAACGACAUAAUCGGUAAAAAUACCUAAUGUUCAUAAGUAAAUGUUAGAGUGGGAAUUUGAUGUUUCCAUAGAAGGGAAAGAUGUUCAGCAUAUCAUAAAACAUAAAAAUAAGGGAUGAAUUUUAAUUUCCGAGCUUUGGGGAAAAAGUGUAAAUAUGCAAAAGUUUAGGGGCAAAAUCAUAAUUUUUCCAAAGUUUGAGUCAAGGACUGUUUUGAUGAAUGGGAGUAUUAAAUAAGCUAAAUUUACUAUUAUAGAUCAAGAGGAACGAAAUCCACAGUUGGACUGGGGAAAGAAAAAGGUUGAGGAUUAAGUUGCUAUAUUUGAUCGUAUUUUGUACCGAGGUAUGUUUAUGGUAAAUAAAUGCACUAUUUCAAUAAUUAUUAUUAAUGUUGUUACUUUCCAUCAAUUAUGUACUUAUUUCAAGAAAUUAUUUAAUGUUGACUCAAGUGUGAGAUGAUAAAGAAUUAGUGUUAAAAAGUCCCGUUGAAACAUUAGGAAUGUAUCAAAUACAUAUGUCAUGACAUUAGGGGGAUGAGACCCCAUGUAAGACCAUGUCUGGGACAUGGCAUUGGCAUUAUUGAGGUUAUUAGAGGUCCCAUGUAAGACCAUGUCUGGGACAUGGCGUUGGUACCGAGAUGAGAGGUCCCCCGUAAGACCAUGUUUAGGACAUGGCAGGGGCACUGAUAUGAGAACUCUCAUGUAAGACCAUAUCUGGGAUAUGGCAUUUCCAGUACAGGAAACAUCCCAUGUAAGACCAUGUCUGGGACAUGGCUUUGGCAUGUUAUUAUCUGAUAGGAGACCCGAGUAUCCUUAGUAUUCCAAGUGUUUCAACGGGCUAGUAAAUAGACUAUGUUACAUGAAAGUUCAGGUAAAAGCAUAAUAAAUAGAUUUAGGUGAGUUAUAAAGGUUAAGAAUAUCUCAGUUAUCAGUCGAGAAAAAAAUUUCAGCAAGGGAGGAGUAACUUAUAAUCAUGAGUUAUUUAAGUAAGCAAGUAAGUAAACAAGUAAGAGAGUAAGUAAAGAAGAAAGUAAAGAUCAUGAUACUUGAUGAUAAUUUAUGAGUAUAAUUAUUUAUGAUAAAUUUUGUUAUUUAUUUGCUUGUAAACUUACUAAGCUUUAUGCUUACCCCCUUUAUUUUCUUUCUUUUUAUAGUAUCACUAAGCCAAUUCGGGAAUUGUAAGGGUGCCGGAGAUCGUUUAACACUAUCAACAGACCAUCUCGGUAUUUUGUGAUUCGAAACGUUUUAAGUUAUGGCAUGUAUAGAGACUUAGUCAUUUUUUGUGUGUGUCCUUAUGAUAUGGCUAAUGAAUAACAUGUAAAUACUCGAUAAUGAUUAGUUAUUUAAAUGACUAUUUAAGAACAUGUUUUGGUGUUAUGUAUGCCUAAAUGAUAGUUAAUACAAAGAAAUUAUAAAAGAGUAAAAAUUUGCAAUGGAACAGUUUUUGGAGAGCAACAUUGACAUGAUUUUGAAAAAUCACCAAGGAUGGUAGAAAUGGAAUUAGAGAGUGAAUGAGAUAUAGAAUUAAAACUUAUCAAGUCUAUUUUCACAUGAAAUAAAUGGUGUAGGCAAAAGGGAUUUUAUAUUUCGUAAUAUUUGAAUUUUAGUGAGACAGGGUCAGAACGGUUUUUGAAGUCCCCUGUUCUGACUUUAGGAAAUCAUUAAAAAUUGUACAGAAAGAAUUAUGAGUCAUAAUUUAUAUUUCUAGAUUCCUUAGUGAGUUUAUUUUCAAUAGAAAUGAGAAAAAGCACCAUAUGAAGCUCGUACAAUGAGAUAAUUGAUUUCUAGUGAAUAGAGGUCAGAACCGUUACACAGUGAAACAUGGGAGACUUUAAUGAAUUAACUGUACUAUUUGGCUAACCCAAAAAUUCUGGAAAUUUUAUGAUAAGAAGAUAUAAGAGUCUAGUUUUAGGAAACAUUUACGGAUCUAAAGUUUGAGUUUUGUAACUCGAGUUAUAAUUAAAUUAGUGACUGUCACGCAAGUGGACAGUUUUAUUAUGAAUAGUGCAAUAAUUUAUUUUAAUUUAUUUGAGUAUUCGGAAAAUUUUUAAUGUUCUCGGUUUUGACCCGAACCAUUUUUGUUCCAUGUUUUAGGGUCUCGAGGGUCCUUUUUAGGCGCAUAUUGAUUGAACGUGGGUGAAUUAAUUUUAAAAGCAAUUUUUUAUGCUCGAAACUAGUAAGUUAAGUCAGGUAACGCCUCGUGCUCGACUCCGGCAAUGGUCUCGGGUAAGGGGUGUUACAGUAGCAACCAAUUAUAGAGGUUGAAUUAUUCAAUGUUUGGGGUAUGGAUUUUAUGGGACCAUUUCCAAGUUCAUUUGGAAAUCUUUAUAUAUUAGUAGCUGUUGGCUACAUCUCGAAGUGGGUUGAAACUAUUGCAGUCCCAAAGGAUGAUGCAAAGACAGUGCUUAAUAUUUUUUUCACAAGCAUAUACUCACCCGCUUUAGCACACCAAAGGCAUUGAUUAGUGAUCAGGGUACACACUUUCAUUGCAACCAAGUGGUAGUCGCACUGAAGAGAUAUGGAGUUAAUCAUAGAAUGACUACUACUUAUUAUCUACAAACUAAUGGACAAGCCGAAAUAUCAAAUCGACAAAUUAAAAACAUUCUUAAGAAGGUUGUGAACCCUUUGAGGAAAGAUUUGUCUUCCAGACUAGAUGAUGUUUUAUGGGCAUUGCGGACAGCAUACAAAACUCCAUAAGGGAUGUCGCCGUAUCAAUUGGUUUUUGGGAAAGCAUGUCACUUGCCAGUUGAACUGGAGCACAAAGCAAUGUGGGCAAUUAAGCAAGUGACCAUGGACUAUGAAGCUGCUGGAAAGAAAAGGCUAUUGGAUAUCACUAAACUAGAGGAGAUUAGGCGAAAUGUCUAUGAAAACGCUGCAAUUUACAAGGAAAAGACCAAACGAUGGAAUGACAAAAUUAUUUAGUAGCGAAAAUUUAUUGCUGGUCAACAAGUUUUAUUCUUCAAUUCUAGACUGAAACUACACCCGGGUAAAUUGCGCACUCGUCGGUCUAGACAGUUGGAAGUUGUCAAAGCAUUUCCAUAUGGUGUAGUCACAAUCAGAGAUUUACAUGAUGGAUACCAGUUCAAAGUGAGUGGCCAGCGAUUGAAACAUUAUUUUGAGAAUAUUGAUCAAAAACAGGCAUAGACCAUUAAAUUGGUUGAAAAUUUUUUAUUUUUAUGAAAUUUAUUAUUAUGUAAUUUUAUUUUAUUUUUGUUUCUAUUCAAGUUUGUUUUACUUUUUUUUUCAAAACAAUUAGAUACCAUUGUCAACGCACUUGGGUUUUAUUGUCAACGCAGUUCAUAUUAUUGUACUGUCACGUAUGACUCACCACGAAUGAAGGGCAGAUCAAAACUUUCAGAUCCCACCAUUUGAUCAAAAGUGACUUAGCCGUCUGGUUUGUCUAAACGGCUGAAAUUCCCAUUUGACACAUUUAUUCUCUCCAGCUUUAUAUCUCUUUACAUAAAAAAAUCACGCAUUUCCAUCUUCUUCUUUCACUCACUAUAAACCCCCUUCGUUGUGCCGACUAUACCACAUACAUCGCAACCAUUUUUAUUCACUUUCUCUUCCCCAAGCUCGUACCUUUACAACUUUAAACCAUCUCCACAUCACAAAACAAACAAAAUAUGGCAAGAACAAGAGGAUCAGUCAAGAAAGCCACCAAGCCUAUUAAAGAACACUCAUCCUCUGCAACUAUAGUUCGUGAAUCGAAAUCCUCUAUGCCAGCAAAGAAAAAAAAAGUUGAUGAUCUUUUUAACGAAAGUAGCCAAGGACCAAUUUCAAGAUAACAUUUUGAAGUGAUACUUUCGCCCAGAAUAGGGCAUUCUCCUUUCGUAACAACAAGACUUGGGCAAGCAAGUCAACAAAACCAUCUCUAAGCCGAUGUGGAAGACUUUUUGCACUCAUCCUGAAAGCUAUUCUCCUUCAUUGGUAUGUGAGUUUUACACUAACCUUUAUGACCAUGAGUUAGAGUUUAUAUUUGUUCAAGAAGGUUUAAUCCCAUGGGAUGCUAAAAGAAUCAAUAAGCUGUACAACACUAAAGUAGAUGUAGAUGAACACUUUGAGUUUAUUGAGGAUAUCACAGACGACAAAAGGGACCUGCUGGUGAAGGAUUUAUGUGUCGAAAGAGCAUUAUGGACGGGUUCACAUCAAAAGAAUUAUACGAUGCACCGCCGCUUCCUGACACUGCAAAGCAAAAUUUGGUUUCAUUUUGUCAACUACGGGCUACUGCCAUCUACUCACAGCACCACAGUCAACCUCGAUAAAAUGUGCCUAAUACAUUCAAUUAUCAAGGGUAGAAAGAUUAAUGUCAGCGUAAUACUCCACCAAGAAAUUAGUGAUUGCGCUACAAGGCAAACUGGAAUUUUGGUUUUCCCAUCGUGGUGAUGCUACUGUGCCAGCAAAAAAGGAUAGUGCCUUGUGAUGAUAAAGUGGUCCUAAGGAAUAAAGGCCCGAUAAAUUAAGCCUCUAUUUAUAGAAUGACCCAUGGCAAAGAUACACUAACAAUGAAGGAAACAGAGACAAGCAAGACAAGAAAGGGCAAAACCAAGGCAGAAAGUAAUGGAACAAACCUGACUGCAGAGACAUUAUUUUUGGGCAAAAUGUAGGAUAUCGAGAAGUUGGUCAAUUCCAUCAGCAAAUCAGGCUUGUCGCUACAAUAGAGGAUAUGGAUAGAUCACAAAAUUUGUUCUGCUCUUAUACCAAGGCCUGUAACAACUCUAUUCUAGUUGCAUUAAGUUAGUUAAGCCCAACCCCACUCCCAAAAUUUCCAAUGUUCCCACCAAUCAUUUGAUAUUAUGACCUCUCAUCCGAGGAAGAUGACUUAAAAGACAGAGACAGAUCAAUAGAAUCCCCUCCCAUUAUGCACGUCUUUGAGGAUAAGAAAGAAGAUGACUCAAGGGACAUUGAAGAGUGCAUGCGAAGGACUGAUAGCUUGGUCGAGGGCAACUUAAAUCCUGGUCAAGAGGCACCUACUGUUGAGGAGGAAGUUGAUGUGGGAGAGGAGGAAAUCUGGGUUAUAGUUGUGAACGAGAAGGUCGAGGAAGAAAAUAUUGAAAAGAAGUUGAUGAGAAAUAAUCUGCGGAGAACAUUGUCAAUGCAUAUGAGUUUUUGGGUGCAACUACAGAUAAUCUGGAGCGAGAUAGAGCUAGACCGGCAAAAGCUGUGGAGGUAACCAAUGAGAAGCACCAAAACUCAUUGGCGAUAGUGGUCUAUACAAAACCACUCAAGGUGACCCCUCCUACACAAGAAGCAUCCGAUGAUACCGGGGUAGUGCCAAAAACUGAGGAGUAAUCCGAGGACUGUGUGAAGCCCAAAGAAAAGAAGAGAAAGAGCUCUAACGACAAAAAGUGAAAGAAUGAGGAGAAAAAGAUGAGGAAGAAGAAACAUUGUGCAGCCACAUUGAUGGCUGAGGAAAACUGAGUUAGUUUAUUUUAAGUUUAAAUUGUAGUAUUCAUGCAUUAUAUGUAGUUGUAAUUUUCAUUUUGUUAGUGCACAUUGUCGUUGCAUUUUUAUUGCCAUUGCAUUUUAAUGCUAAUGCAUUAGGGACAAUGCAACUUUAAGUUUGGGGGAAUGCAUAUGGGGUUUGGAAAUACACCCACAUUUCAAAAAAAAUUGAGUUUAAUGAAGCAUAUAUUUUCUCCCUACUUAUUGGUUAAUUUGUCCCCAUUUAGUUAUCUUUAGCACAUAUUUUAGCAUUUUCAGUUCAAUAAAUUGUAUUUUAUAACUCAGUGGAUCUUAACCUAUUUAUCCUUAAUUUCGUCAUGUUUUGAUACUUAAAUUCGUCAUGUUUUGAUACUGAUGUCGUUACAUGAGUAUUUCCAAAUUGCACCUAGAAUUCUCGCUGCACCUGAAAGCUAUCCCGAUAAGAACAAAAAGGUGUAAGCUGUCCAGUCUACUACAACUAACUUGUACGUACAGAGGCAUCAUAAUUCUGAUAAAGGGACACUUGUGCUAUUUGGAUAAAUAUGAAUAUUCACGUGAAAAGGAGAAGGGAGAGGUUUUGGGGGGGUAUUAUCUUCUUCAGUCUAUCUUUUGAAGCUUUUCGGCUAUGGAGGCCUAAGCCUCCUACGGGUGAAUCGACGUGAAAGGGAUGCAGAUUAGCUUUUGGCGAGGAGCACUGAGUGUGACAUAAGAGGGAAUGGAGAGAUUCAAGUCGAGAUUGUCUAGGAAUAGUAUUCUCCACUUGUUUCUUUUAUAGUUCUUUUCUAAACGAUAGUGAUUACUUUCUAUUUCAUGUUUGUACGGAAGUAUACAUGAUUUUUGGGUUAAAUGUUAUUUUAUUUAAUCUUGCUUCUACUGUUUAAUCUUUGGGUUCGAAUUUUUUAGCAUGGAAGUGCUAUUGCGGUCACUGACACUAGAAAGUGUAGCGACAAUUCAAGCUAACAAGCAUGACAACAGAAGUUGCUUGAGGAUUAGAGGAAUUUAAUCCACUUGUUCUUAAUAGUGUUGCAUUGCCAUCACCGGAUGGUGUGGCUAAUGUGCACGUUUAAGUCUUAGAUUAAAUACAGAAGUUAAGCUUGGUAAGAUAUUCAUUGCAAUUCAAUGCAUCAGCAAUCACCUAUCCUUUUAUACCUUGUGAGCACUUAGUAUUCUAUUGAAUAUUCUUGUUGGGGAUCCCAAUUUAUCAUUAUCAUAUUUUAUCUUAUUAUUUUCAAGUUUUUGCUUCGACAACUACUCUCACAAUUUAUCUCAUUCCUAUCUAUUUAUUGCACUAACAUUGAUAGACAAAAGACAAUCAUCCUCGUGGGAUUGAUAUCCGACAGAUUCAUAUCUAUCUACUAUACUUACAUCGACAGUGUACGCUUGCACAUUAUUUCUGUGAGUUAAACAGCCGAUCAGGAAGAUAGGAAGAUCCUGCUAUUUUAAUUUUUCUAUCUCUAUCUCUUGCAAUUUUAUUUUUUAUGUUAUUUUAUUUUAUUAUUUUACAAACACUAAACAUAUUUCUUAUUUUACUCUCAUACUAUAACUGACUUAAAGUAUUAAUUAGAUCUUUAAUUUUUUAGGUUAAGAUUGACUUAGUACUCACCUCCUUAAGGUACGAUCCUCGGAGUACUCACCUAUUUCGUUGUAAAAUCUAUGUUAUAACUCGACCUAUAAACUUGCGGAUACCGCCUCCUAACUUUCUAUUUUACUGUAGUAUCCAUACUCUGGACGUUAGUAUGUCCGAGGCAGUCAAUGUCCGCAAGUAUACAAGUCAUGUUGUAAUAUAGCUUUUACAACAAAGUAGGUGAGUACUCCGAGGAUCAUACCCAAGGGAGGCGAGUACUAAAUUAAUAUUAACUUAAAUGUAAAUAGAUCUAAUUAGUACUGUAAAUAAAUUAUAGUACGAUAAACAUAAAGUGAAAAGGAUUUUUUUUAUAAUAAAGGAAAUAAAUAUGCAUAAAAGAAUGAAAAUGAAGAACUAAUAUGUAAACUCAACCAAAUUUAAGCAUGGGUGACUAGCUCUCUUUGAUGGUCAUAACUAAUUCCUAUUUUGGGUUUCUACUCAAUCAACUAGUCGUUACCCUAACAGGAUAUCUCGAUCUUCCACUAAACUAACGAGUCGGCAAGAACUACAUAUCUCUUCACCUCACAGCCCAAACCGAAUUGGGGUAAGGGGUUCACGGAUAGGCAAUACCAAUUUUUGGUUAAUUCCCACCUAGAUAACUUUCUAGUGUUGUCAGGUCUAGGGUUUAAGUUCUUCCUAUCCCAAACAAUUGAUCUGCUAAGAAGCCCUACAUAGAAACUAAUUAAUCACACAAUUGAUCUGCUAAGAAACCCUACAUAGAAACUAAUUAAUCACACAUUGACUCACUAAUCCCCUAUUACUAAUCCCCUAUUAAGAGGAUUAGUUGCUCAUGGAUCUCAAAAAUAGUAUAAACUUGAUAAAUAAAGUAAACAUGAAGAACAAAUUAAAAGUAAAAGUUUAAGAGAAAUCCUAAUUGUAUUAAAUGAUUGAGGUACAGAAAUCCACAAAGCGUUCGUUGAAUCCACAAAUCAAAUCCUCUGAAUAACAUGAAUGAAAACAAAUUGAAAAAAAAAUCCUAAGUCUAAAAAGAAAUAAAAACUAAAAACUAAACAGAAGAGAUAAGUCUAAGUUAUAGAAAAUAUUAUUUCUCAAAUUUUUAAUGAGCUUAUUUAUAAUGUUAAGGUUGGCCAUAGUCCUUAGCCCUAGUUUGGCAGAUGUUUUUACAUUAAAAUACAUUGUGCAAACCAAAACGCCUUCAAUUCGUUAAUGCUUUCAUGUACAGGGUCAAUGUCACUACAUCCACUAUCAACGUAACGACACUAAAGGUAGUCUGCUUGGCUUAAGCUCAGCUUCAGGGGUGUGUCGUGACACAAAAGAAAGACUUGAUAUUUGGCCUUCUGUUCACUAUGUUGCGACAUUGAACUCUGGUGUUGCAACAUGGCGACCAACCUCAAGUUCUUAUGCCUCCAAAUAGUCUCCUGCAAACUCACCAAAUACGUUAGUCUUUCCUUAGGCCUCCUUCGGCCCCUAAGGUCCUAAAAUCGACUCAAAUCACACUUUUUAUUAAAUUGAAACCAAAAUAUAAAAAAUAAAUAAAACAUAAAAAGAUUGCUUAUAUUCAAGCUCCUUAAAUAUGAAAACUAGUUUAAUCCGCUACAAUGAAUUGUGGCAAUCACUUUACUACUUAGCGAACCUAGGUAAAUUGUGUGAACUCAUAUAUGUAUGCGAACCCAUGUGUUUAUGCGAACGCUAUUAGAGUUUCAUAACCUAUGCAUGUACAAUUCCUUUUUAUUGUGAAGCUUGUUUACUUACCAAACCUAUUUUAAGUGUUAGCCUAUAAAGCUAUAUUAUUGAAUGCGAACUUAGAUUGAUGCUAUGCAAACUUAUGUUGAGUGAUGUUUGCGAACCCUUAAGAUAUUGUAAAUUGAUAUGCAAACACUUCCUCUAUUUGUUUUAUAAGCUAUAUAUUAUAUGUAUGAUGUUAUGACAAUCCACUACAAUAUGUAAAACUUAGCACAACUUCCAUAUUGUGAAUUUGUGGUGUGUUGGAGGAUAGGUUGAAGUAAAGUCACUUCGGUGGCUAAUGUGGCACACAGGAUUUAGGUCGGACUUACUCAGUCAGUUUUGGAGUGUUACAGAUGGGUUGGUUGUAAUUCAACCAAACUAGACUAGGUUCUCAACCCUAUCCAAUUUCAAUUACUCUAUUUUCCCAAUUUUCAGUAAAGAUCAUUAGUUUGCAGUCUCUUUCUGUAAUACCCCUACCCAUAUUCGUCGCUAGAAUAGGAUACGAGGCAUUACCAGAUUUUACCGAAUUAAUUUUCCAUUAUUACGAGUUACAUACUAUUCAUUUAUCGAAACAUGUCAUGACGUCCCUUGGAUAGGCCUCUGAAGCCCAAAACAUACAUCGAGACUAAACCGAUCUUAAAUCGAAACCAUAAGAAAUUUUUUUUAUGAACUCAAUAUAACCCCUUUAUAAAUUUCUAACCUUCCCUGCAAUUUUAAACCAAGACUAAUCUAAACCAACCAAUCCAUUUCGACAUAUUUUCAAGAUAGAUUCAAACAUAUCCAUAAGAUAACCUCAUUACAUACCAAAACCAAGAUCUGUUAGCCAUACCAAUGGCUAACCUUACAUUCAUUUCACAUUAACAUUUACUUUAUUAGCUUAUACAUGCCAUUGAUUCCAACAUAAAGUUUCUUUAUAUACCAAAAUCUUGAGGUUGAUAGUGUGAUGCGUCUCUGACCAGAUCCAGCCUCCGAGCUCUUAACACUACAAAAAAGGCGAAAAUGAAAUAAGGUAAGCACUUUGUGCUUAGUAAGCUCAUGUAACAAGAAUUAUACUUACCUAAUAUUUUCAAUACAAUGCAAUAAACAUUCAUACAUCCAUUCAAUGCAUUAUUCCCCUAACAUGCACAAACUCAACAUUCAAGUUAGUUCAAUAAUUUUCAUGUAUCAAUAAUAUAUAUACCAUGAUUUGAUGAGCUCAUCAAUACCAUGAUUUCCAUUCCCUUGUUAUUUUUCCAUAUUUAUCCCGUUGAACUUCUCGGAAUUUCGAUGGAUUUUUAGGGGUACACUUUAGUGUACAGAUUUGGGUCCAUCAAUUCAUAUUAUGUGAACACAUUUCCAUUUCAGAGAGCACACUCCCGCAAACCUCAUCCUUACAGCGGGAUUACCAGUCCAGGCUAAAUCCCCUGUAAUAUAAACUCAUAGAGUAUUGUCGGGAUUACCAGUCCAGGCUAAACCCCCUGCAAUGACAAUUACUCUAAUGAGAUUGGAUCUGAAUUACCAGUCCAGGCUAAAUUCAGACCCUAAUUCGGAUUACUCGUCCAGGCUAAAUCCAUUUUCUACAUAUUCUUCGGGAGGGCUAUAUCAUGAUAAAAUCACACGUUCGGGCUAGAUCCCUUUUACCAUCAAUUCCUUUUCAGAGAUCUAUCGAAUUUUCCUUUCAUUCAACCGGGAUUUAUUUUCUAUUUUCAUCAAGAAUAUCAAUACUUCAUCAAUUAUCAUACAAUAAACAUCCAAAUCAUAUUCACAUCAAAUAUAUAUAUUUCAAGCAUUUAAGAAUAUAAUUCAAGCUACAUGAACUUACCUCGAUACUUGUUCGUAUGCAAAAAUCUACUAAUCUCGAACUUUUUAUUUUCCUUGAUCUAGCUUCGUAUUUGAGUUUUCUGGAUUUAAAUAAAUAAAUUUAAUCAUUAAUUUAAUACAUUUCAUGUUCAUAUGUAACAUUCUCUAUAAUUUCACUAUUAUUUAUAAUUCAUUCAGAGCUGUCUUCUUGAGUCAUAGUCACUAAAUUAUUUAUAUCUUGAGCUACGGAACUCCAAAUUAAGAUCUGAUAAUUUUCUCUAAAACUAGACUCACAUAUCUUCUUACCAUAAAAUUUUCAGAAUUUUUGGUUUAGCCAAUAAGUACAGUUUAUCUCUAAAUUCAUCCCUAUUUUACUAUCUGACAGUUUUGACCCUUCUUCACUAAAAAUUAAUUAUCUCCUCGUACAGGAUUCGGAUGAUGUUCUCGUUUGUUUCUUUUGAAAAUAUACUCAUUAAGGAUUUUAAAAAUUUAAAUUUAAGCCCCUAAAUAUUUUUCUCCAAUUUUUUUAUGAUUUUCCAAAUUCAAAACAGGGGAACCCGAAAUCAUUCUGACCUUGUCUCACAAAACCUAUUAUAUCUCAUAAUUUACAAUUUCAUUGCUUACAUCAUUUAUUUUAUAAGAAACUAGACUCGAUAAGCUUUAAUUUAAUAUUUUAUUCAUCCUCUAAUUCGAUCUCUAAAAUUUUUUGUAAUUUUUCAAAGUUAGACUACUGCUGCUGUCCAAAACUAUUUUAAUGUCAAAUGUUGAUUUCCGUUUUACACCAAAUUUCACAGUUCAUACAAUUCAGUCCUUGCUCAAUUAACCCCUCAAUUAGGCUAAUUUUUCUCAAUUUAUACUUUACCUAGACAUUAUAAGUUAUUUCACAGCUAUUGAAAUUCAGAAUUUCCACAUAAAACACUAACUUCAAACUCUUAUACAAUUAGGUCUCAAACAUUCACUUUCUAUUCAAUUCUUUCAAUAAAAUCCGCAUAUAAAUAAUUUAAAGCUCUAAUUCCAUGCUAAAUCAUCAUAUACUUCCAGCACAUAUUCAUAGCAACUUUCAAUUUCAUUCAUAAAAUCUAAAACUAAUGAAUUCAACAAGUGGACCUAGUUGUAAAAGUCACAAAAACACAUAAAUUUCAAGAAAUAAACAAGAAUUGAACUUACUUGCAGUAAAAAUAUGAAAAACCAGCUUAAGGAAACCUUCUAUGGUGUUUUUGCUGAUGAAAAUGCAGAAAAAUAAAGAGAAAUCUAGAUAAUUCCACUUUAAUCCUAACUUUAUUAAGUAAAUUUUGCAAGAUUCCAAUUUUACCCUUAAUUCUCCUUAUUUCCUUGCUGAUUUCAUGCCCUUGCUGUCCAGCCCAGGGUCUAUUUGGCUUUUAAGCCCUCUUUCUUUUAUCAUUUAAGCUAUUUAAUCAUUUCCUAUAAAUUUGCAUUUGUUACAAUUUAGUGUUCAAUUAACAAUCGAAACUUUAAAAUUUCUUGACGAAACUUUAAUACUAACUUAUUACCACUCCAUAAAUAUUUAUAAAAAUAUUUAUGGCUCAAUUAAAAAUAUCCGAGGUCUCGAUACCUUGUUUUCGAUUCUAAUUAUUUUAAUAUUUAUUUCUAGUACACUAUUCACUAUUUCAAAAAUUUUCCUAACUUCACAUUUAACUUAUACUCACUAAAUUAAUAAUAUUUUCUACUCCCUUGUCGGAUUUAGUGAUCUCGAAUCACCGUUCCGACACCACUAAAAAUUCAGGCCAUUACACUUUCAAUUUAACCCCUAAAUGUUCUAAAUUUCUAGGUUUAAAGGAAUCCAAGUGUGACAAACAUGGUUCAACUAAUAUUCCAUAUCAUUCAUUUAUUCAUUCAAGACACAUAUGAAUCAUAUUUUGUAAAUCAGUCCGUUUAAUGUCAAACUUCAUUAUUCAUACCACUCAACUAUAAGUAAUAUAUUCUUUUAUAACACAACUACUUUAGUAUAAAUGAAUAUUCUAUGAACUUACCUAACUAGAACAACAACAAACAGGACACUAAGGACUAUUUUGCAGUUUUUCCUUUUCUACAAUUAUCGAUCGGUUGAUCCGUUACUUGAUCUAUAUAAUAAUUUAAUUCAAUUAUCAAAUCCAAAUACCUUAAAGUAUCUAAAUAUAUGCACAUGAAAUUUUAAUUUUGUUUUCACAAUUUUCUUAAAAUUUUAUAUUUUUUCAAUUUAGUCCCUAAAACUGAAACUAUUAUAUCUUUCACAAUUAAACAUCAUUUUAUGAUCUAAUUUCACAUACAUCCUUAUAAGAACCUCUACUAUCCAUAUUUAUCAAAAAUUCAUGGUAGUUUCAUCAACUUUUCAUUUUAGUCCCUAAAUGCAAAACUAACAAAAGCCACUUUACAAAUUAAUCUUAUUUCAUUCCUAAGCUUACAAUUCUACCAUUUAACAUCAAAACAUUCAAAAACCAUUAAAGGUAACUUUUACAAACUUUAACAGUUUUAGGAUUUAACACACGGGAUAACUAAAUUAAGCUACAACGAUCUCAAAAACAUAAAAUUCAUGAAAAAUGAACCUCAAAUAUACUCACAUGCAAUGAAGAAAAGCUUGACCAAAUCCCUAGCUCUUUAUCAAUAGAGGAAAUGGGUUUUAGAAAGAAAAUGAUGAAUAUGAUAUGCUUACUUGCUUUUUCACAUGUUUUAUUUUCUUUUAAAUUUAAUUUUAUAAAUAAUUUAAUAUAAAACCAAUUACUUACCGUCCAUUAACUUAAAAGUGGCUAAUUGCCACAUAAAACUGCUAACAUUUACCUAUUAAUCAUUUUUAACUAAUAAAAUCAAUAACGAUUAAGUUUUACGAUUUUUAUGAUCUAGUCCUUGUACCCUAAUUAACCAUUUAAUCAAUCAAAUCACCGAACCAAAAUCUAAUAUAACAUUAUAGUAGACUCAUAAAUAUUAAUAAAUAAUAUUUACUGAUCUGAUCAUCGAAAAAAGAAGUUUUGAAACCAUUGUUUCCGGUACCAUUAGAAACGAGCUAUUACACUGGCACACAAAAUGCAUCCUGACACAUAAGCGAAUAACUCGUACACAAUCCAAUCCUAUAGUAUGCCAACUUUAUCUAACACAGCCCAAACAACUAAUAGGGUACCCAUGUUCAAUUUCAUUUUACGAUUCGAUACAUAUAUCAUUUCUCAAUCAAAAUCAUAUUCACAAUCCAAUUCAUUAUCAAUAUACUUUAUAUCUCAUUUCAUACAACAUAUUUCUAUCUCAUUUCCAUAUAACACAUCAUAAUCCAAGCCUUUCAUGUCAUUUUCUAUUUUAUUCAUUUUAGACCUCUAUUUCGGUAUUCCAUAUAACAUAUCAUAUUCCAAGUAUGUACAACAUACUUGUACAUAUAAUUCGUUCGAUAUUUAACCGCCCAAUUAAAUUAAUUCUAUAAUCAACUUAAUUCAUGUGACGGCUAAAAACAAUACUAACUAUGUUUGGAUUUCGUUCGUUUCAACCAUAGAGUGUGGCCUUGUAGGUUCUUGUAGCGUUAGCAGUAAUACUAGAAUGAUUCUAAUAUUACAACCAAUGAGUAGCAUCUAGCAAUGCAUCAUUGCUACCUAAGUUACAAGAAGUCAUGAUUCGACUUAACCUCUAUGUGAUUAACCUUUAAUGUAUUAAAUCCUUUUGUCUUUUAUAUCUAGAAUGGGCACAAGUCAUGGAAUUGUCACACUUGCAUAAUCUAUAUAAUGUUUCUUAAUAUCCUGAGUAGACUAUGAUAAACAAGUAAGUAUGAUAUCUCAUAUUAACUUAUUCGAGUAUGGCCAUGCAUUUCUAGUCUUACUCAAUCAAGUGGCCUAAGAUAUUACUCCUAUUAUGUAGGAGGGACAAACCCUAUAUUGAUUAACCAUAUCCCAGUACAUAGAUUGUGGUAUAUCCAACAUCAACCUUUAUAGAACAACCAGUUACGAUGGAUGUUUGACUGUAUCAUAAUAUACGACUCACGAUGAUGGGAUAAUGAUGAUCUCAAGUCUGAGGAUCGUAAACAUAGUAAUCACUAUGAGUAAUGUUGUGAUUAUUAUAUAAUAAUCCAAGAAACAUACUCAUAGUGGAUCAGUCCAAUACACAUACUCAUGUAUUGAUUUUGACAUCCUAUGUUAGUGACAACACUUUGUCAUCAAUAAACUACACGUUAGUCUUAAUGCAUUAUUGUUGUUCAAGCCCACAAUAAUACUUGACUAAGGACCUUUUAAGAAUAAUCAUAUUAUUCUCAAGACAUUAUUAUAAAACAGUUUAUUUAUACACACAUAAAAGAAACUAAAAUAAUAAUGGCAAUGCUUUAUAUUAAUAAACGAGGUAAAACAAGUAUGUUAUUACAAUCAUUUCAUGAUUGGUCUUUGGGCAUACUCUAACAAGCUUAAUAAAGCUCCCAUGAUAAAAAAAAAUCUAUAAAAAUCAAAGAAAACUGACUAGAGACUUACUUGAAAUUGGUGGCUUAAUAUCGAUCUAGGUUUUUCAAGCUUUUUCAUUCUUUCUUCUAUGGAGGACACGAUGAAGAAGAUGAUGUUUGUCAUCCUUUCCCACUAGAUUAGUUUAUAAUUAAGCUUAAUUAAAUAAUUUAAUCUUACUUAAUUAAGCACUAAUCUUUACUUGACUUAAUUUAAUGACAUUCACCUUCUAUCCACUAAAAAAAAUUCUAAAUUGGUUUAUUAGCUAUUUUAGUCCUUUCGAUAAUUGCUAUCUAAGUCCUUAAGCCUUUCUCUAAUUAAAACUCUAUAGCAAUUAAAUUUUUACAAUUUAGUCCUUGGGUCUUAAUUAACUACUGUAAAGCCCAAAAUCUGCCCGGGCUUGACAGUCCAUUUACAAAAAAUGAACCCAAACAAUUAUAGCCCAAAUAAAAAAAAGCCUAAAGCCCAAAUGGCCCAAAACUAAACUAGUUUUCAGCCAAACACAAAAACCCUAGCCCCAUGCCCCGCUACUGCCGCCGCUCCAUCUGCGCCGCACGCCGUCACCGUCCAAGACUUGCCUAUCACCGGUCGCCCACGCGUCUGACACCUGCGAAAAUUAAGUAUAACGACAGUGAAAAGGCAUGCGGGCAAUAAAAAAAAGAAGAUGGACAUUAAAGAAGAAGGAGAAGACAUUUUUUUCGGCUAUAAAAAGCCUUAAUCGAAUCCUUGUAUUUUUUUUACGAAUACAUCUCAGUCAAUCAAAAACUCAGAAACAAAAAUAGAAAAGGUUGAUUUUAAACUACUUUUUUCGUCUCUUUCUAUUUUAUUUAUUUGAUCUUAUUUUAUUUUAUUUUUUUUCUUUUGCAAAUCUAUUUCAAAUAACUAUAGUAAAAAAUCAAAAGCAAUAAAAAGGGGAAGGGGGACUUACCGGGGAAGCGCCAAAAUCGUGCCCGCGAGGUGUUCUCAUUCUUCGCGGCCACCGGAUCUCAAAGGCGCCGAGGUUCCUUUAUUUUCUCCUUCGGGAUUGGGGGUUUAGCCUUCUGGGAUGUUUCUAGGCCGAGGUUAGGAGCUCUUUCUCCAUCGCCGGCCACCGGUCUUUGUGGCCGUGAUGGCGACGCGCCGGAGGCAAAUGAACCCGAGGGUCGGACGGUUGAAAGUGGAGGAGAAAGGUUUUGAAACAAAAAAAUAUAUAAUAAACAGAGGCCAGAAUGAAAAGAAUGAAAAUUUUGCUUAAAUGCACUGAGUAAAACGGCGCCGUUGAGGGGAGGUGACCAGCGCAUUCUUGCCCUAGUGGUAAUUUUGCGCCUUUGGUCCCUCCAAUUUUUCCAGCGCAUUUAAAUUACCCUUUUGUUUCUUUUAAUUUUAGCCAUAUAAUUUCGCGUCUUUUCCAAUCUGGUCCUGCGCAAAUCUAUGCGCAUAUGGGACGGGGAAUAUUGCGCAAUCGGUCCCCCAGGUCCUCGGCGCCUUUUAUUUCAACCCCUUUACCACCUAUUUCAUAUAUUUGUAGUUUAAGACCCGUUUUUUUAUUCUGUUUCAACCACGUCCUUAAUAUGUUUUUUAUAUACGCUAUUUUAUCAUUAUUUGGUUUAAGCCUUUAUAUUUAUUAUUUAUUUGAAAUUGUUUUGCACUAAAUUUUUUUAUAUAUUUUAAAAACUGUUUCUUUUAUUGUUUAAGAUUUUCUUUUGUAUAUUAUUUUAUUUUAAACUACUUUAGAUUGACUAGUAUUUAUCUCAAGUUUUUAUCUCAUUUUAUUUAUUUGGUUUAAAUUUAUAUAUUAUCAUAUUAUAUAUUAUUAUCUAUGUUAAAAUAUUUUAAUAUUAAUAAUUUCAAAUUAUUCAUAUAUUUUUAUAAUAUAUAUUUACGUACAUACUUUUCAUUUAUUAUAAACAUAUACUUUUUAUAUUUUAUAUUUUAUAUUUCAUAUUUUAUAUUCUUUAUAUUCUCAAAAAUAUUUUUUUAAUUCACAUACAUAUUUUCUUACAUUAUUACAAUUUGUAAAUAUAUAUACACACAUACUUACAUUUUUAUUUUAUAAUACUUACAGAUUUUUUUAUAUAUGUAUAUAUUUAUAUACGUUUUCAUAUUCUAUAAUUUAUAUGCAUUUCUUAUUUUCAUGGCUUAAAAUUAUACAUGCAUACACAUUGUUACAUAAUUGUGUUUAUUGUCAUCAUUGUUAUUUGGUGUUUGUUUCUUUAUUCAUGUACACUUUCACUUUUCUAAAAUGUUAGUUCUAUUUAUUUAUUCGUUUACGUUGUUUAUGUAAUCGCCUCGUCAUUUCAUUUUGCCUAUUGUAUUGUUGUUACUCACAUUACUUUGCUUACCUUGUCGUAUUCGUUAUUGUUUUGUCAUGCAUUAACACCAAACAUCAAAAGGAAAGUUUUUUUCUAAAUAAGGCAAUAUUUCGCGUUUGGAAAAUCAAGAAAACGUGCCCUAACGUGCUGGUUUCGAUUUCUCGUUCGACUAAAUAGCCAAAUAUCCUCUUAAAACUUCAAAGUAUGGUUUCAUUAAAUUAUAAGGUGAUAUUGGUUUUGAUGGUUUAGAGUAUCGUGUCCUAACGUGCUGGAUGUGAUAUUCCUUCGGAACAAGAGAAUCUUAUAUUUCAAUUCACAUUAUCAGAGUUUCUUUCAAGGAUCGUAUUUUUUAAACUCUUCAAAUUUUCAAUUUUCGACACUAAGACACUAAUUAAUCAACUAGGUACCAAUUUUGGGCGUAUUGAGGGUGCUAAUCCUUCCUCGUGCGUAACCGACUCCCGAACCUGUUUUCUGAAUUUCGUAGACCAAAAUCGUUGUUUUAAUAAAAAUUAAAUCGUUUAUUAAAAACAACCACUUUUCGAGGUGACCCGAUCACACAUCAUCAAAAAAGGAUUGGUGGCGACUCCCGUUUUCAUUCUUUUUUUCAAAAUCCAAGUCGACCCCGUUUUCACAAAAAAAUGGUGUCAACAACUACAAUUUCGGCUAAAUUACUUAACCGAAUUUCAAUAUAUCUAUAUACUAACUCUGUAAAUAUCCCUAUUUAAUAUUUACGGACUCGGUUUAUGAAAAUGAGGUUCAAAAAACUGCACUUUUCGACGCCACUGGAAACCGGGUCAUUACAUUUCUAAUUUAUUGGAUUUAAAAGUUUUUAAGUAUUUCUUAUAUAUAUUUAUCAAGUAAGAUAUAGAAAGAAUAUGAUGUGGUGAUCCGAUCGAAUCUAUGGAUCAUAUUCUUAGAGAUUGUUUAGCGGCCAGGGAAGUUUAGAGUGUGGUCCAAGCUCUCUCAUAAGAUUUGAGUUUCUUCAUUUUGGAUUUCAAGUAGUGGGUAAAAAACAACAGUAGGUUUGAACAACUAAUGCGUUUUGCUGCUUCCUUGGAGGAAUUUUUUGUGGCCAUUUAUAGGGACUGUGGAAGGGAAGAAAUAUAGAAAAUUUUCAAUGACAAAAUCAAUUUGUUGUGCAAGUGGUGGGUUAUGUUAGAAGGCUCGCCUUGGACAUUUAUAAUGUUUGGAAGAAAUAUAUCACAUGCUUUGUUACUGUUGUGCGAUAUGUUAGUUGGAGAAAACCACCUUCAAAUGCAUAGAUUCUUAACAUCGAUGGCAACAUUCGAAUGUUGACACAAAGUGCCGCAACAGGUGGUUUGAUUCGAGGACUAAAUCUACUGUUGUUGGCUUGAUUCGAGAUGAACAUGGUAUUAGUUGGUUAGCUGGUUUCUUGUGUAAGAUUGGAAGUGCUAAUAGCUUACAUCCAGAGCUUUGGGCUGUAAGAGAAGGAUUGCGUAGCUAAGGCGAAGGGGUUAUCUAAUAUAAUAGUUGAAAUGGAUUUUGUGAUCAGGGUAAUGACUUUGAAACAUGGCGUGGUUGAUACUCACCCACUUGGCUCAUUGGUUUGAGAUUGCAUGGAACUUGUCAACAAGAGUAUAGGGUGAUUGAAAUAAGACACAUACAUAGAAAGGGAAAUCGAUGUGUAAAUCAUCUUUGCUAACUUGGCACAAGAUCUUGACUUGGGGUUAUUCUUUUAUCUGCACCGCUAGACAGCUUAUUGUCUUUGGUAAUUGAUCACGAUGCUAAUGGCAAAAAGAUUGCUAGAGUAGGCUAGUUGCUGUAAUACUUUUCAUUUUGUACCAAUAUAUAUAUUUAGAGUUUAUAAUUUAUAAUUUAUAAUUAUAUUCAUUUAUGGAUUUUUAUAUAUUUAUUUAUAUUAUUAUAAAAUUUUAAAGUUUACAUAUAUUUAAUAAAAUAAGUUUUAUAUAUUUUUUAUUAAAAAUGCCACAUGGUGCUAUUUGAUUGGUCAAAAUAGCCAACAAUUUUUUUAACAUUUGUUAAUAAUUUGGGUCAAAACCAUAAGUGAAUGAUACUUUAGGUAUCAAUUGGUACAAACAAAAAUUUAGGUAUCAAAGUAAGAAAAUAGGUAUACUUCAAGGACUAAAUUGUGAAUUAAGCCAAUAAAGAACAAUCAAUACAAAUUUAAACUUGAAACUAAACAAAUUGAUGAAUAAAAAAUAAAACAUUUUCAAAAUAAGCAAAAAAAAAUAUUUUCUUUUCCUCCAAACAAGUCAUGUGAGUAGCUAAAAAUUAGGUCAAAUUAUGCUAUUAAACCCUAUACUUUGAGUAAGUUGUGGACUUAGUACAUAUGCUUUAAUUUAGUUAUGUUCAAUCUUUGUACUUUUAGAAUUUUAAAAUUUUAGUCCUAACUAUUAAGUUUAUGAAGUUGUGCUAUUUUCAAAAUUCGAUGCGUCAAACAUAUUAUUGCAUGUGUAAUGUCAUUUUAGCUUGUCAUCUUUACAUAUUACUUGCAAAAACCCAGCUAAUAGAUUUAAUGGCUGCUAUUACAUUAAGACUAAAAUUUCAAAAUCUAAAACAUAUUGUGACUAAGAAUUAUCCAAAUGAAGAACAUGGACUAAAUUUCUAACUUUACGCAUAACACAAGACUAAUGAUAAAAUUUAACCAAACAAAUUUAAUUGCUAUUAUUUGAACAUAACUAAUUUUUUAAAAUUUGAAAAGCACAAACACUAAAUUUAAUUAAAUCAUAGCAAAUCCAUAAGGAAGUACUUGAUUUAGUAACAAAAUUUGAUCCUAAAAAUUACCCUUUAAAAUUAAUUUAUUACUAAUUUAUAUAUUAAGAUAUGAAAUAAAUAAUACUGCUAGCAUUAAUAUAAAAAAAAAACUAAAUUAUUAGAGUAAAAAGAACCUACAAAAAAAUACCUUGUCUUGCCAUGAUAAUAAUAUCAGUAUUGAAUUGGUUCAUAUUUUAUUUUAAUUUUACUUUUAUGUUUUAACUAUGUGAAAUUAAAAGACGAAAGGCCAUAAAGAAGCUUCUGGAGACAAUUGGAAGAAGGAGAAAAGAAAAAUAAAAAGAAAAGAAGGAUCUGCAAAGGGGGGCGGCUGAAAGAAGAAACUGAAAAUAAAGUGGCCGCCAGAUUAAUUUGCUUUUUGGGUUAUUAUUUAUCAGUGGGCUGAUCGACGUCCAGUCUCCACUGGUCAAAUCGCUGGAAAUAAGGUAGCAAAAGAUAUCGGUUUUAAUUUAUUCAUUUCAAUAUUUUUCCUUCUUUCAAUUCAGUGUAUUGCCUUUCAUUCAUCGUCUUUGAUCGUAUUGCAGUCGAAUUGAUAAGCUUUUGUUCUGAUAUAAUUUCCAUAUUACCGAAAAUACCGAGUUUAUGAGAUUAUGAGAAAUGUUUUGAGAUUUUAUCUGUUGAAGUUGUUAGCCUGAAGCGACUGUAUAGGAAGAGUGCUUUUUAGUUUGAGGGGAAGAAGACUUUUGAUUGUUGUUCAAUGCUUUGGAUUUGAGAUGAAGAGGAAAUUGCGUACUUGAUACAACUGAAUGUAUGUAUCGUUUUCGCGAGUAGUAGGGCUCUUUCAUGGUUCUGUAGCAGUUCUGAAAUGGUUUAUUAGUUAAUUACUGAACUGAUAAAACUGAAAGCCUUUGUUGUUUCAUUUUUAUAGGUUAUUGGCCCCUUUGAGUUAUCAUCCAGUCUGGGCCACCCACACAAGAAGAGAGUGGGAGCAAGAGAUUCAAGAUUGGAUAUCAAAAGUUCCUAUUCUAAUCUGAAUUGAAGCAGGCAGGUCCAUGAAAUCCUCCUAUUCCUUGUGUUCCACAUAAAUUAAGAUCUUAUACAAGUCUGUCCCCCCGCUUCCUUAAUUCAUUGUUUUUGAAAUUGGAAUUGGAAUUGGAUGGCUUCCUCUGGGAAUCCCAAUCCUCAACCACAAAUUGGCGGUGGAAGUGGAGGUGGAGGCGGCAGUGGAGGGUUCGAUUUGAACAAACUGUUUAAGCCCAGUUCCAGCCCAAUGCUGCAGCAUCAGCAUCUCCAAGACAUGAACGUCAUGGCAACUCCUCCAAGUCCAAAUCCUAACACUACCAACCUGACUACAUCCCCAUCUUUCCCAGCCCAACUGUCAACGCCGCCUCCACCUCCCUAUUUAACGCCUUCCUCCUCUUACCCUCCGCCUACUAGGCCCUACCCUUUCCAUCAGCAGUACCUUCACUACCCUCCUCCUCCUCAACACCUACCCCCCUUGCAUCCUCAUCCUAAUCCUACUGGACCUAUUCCUUAUCAUCCCCAACCCCAACUACCCACCACUCCUACUUCUGGAAAUGACAUUUUGAUGGCCUUUUUUGGCACUCAGUCUCAGUCACAAGCUCCUGCUCCUGUCCCUUCUGCCCCACCUCUUAAUAUGAAUGUCAACCCAUCUGCCCCUUCGCCCUCUCCCUCCUCUCCCUCACCUGCCCGACUGUUGAGCAGCAAGUCCCCCAAGGGAAGGCAUCUUUUUGGGACCAAUCUCCUUUACGAUAUUCAUGUCAGGCUGCCCAGUGAAGUACAGCCCCAACUUGAGGUCACUCCCAUUACCAAGUAUGCUUCUGAUCCUGGCCUUGUUCUUGGUCGUCAGAUUGCUGUUAAUAGGAAUUACAUUUGCUAUGGUCUUAAGCUUGGGAAUAUCCGUAUCCUCAACAUCAACACCGCCCUCCGGUCCUUGCUUCGUGGCCACACUCAGGUAUUUCUCUUUAUACGCACUUUUCUAUUAUCAAGUUCCUAUUGUGAAACAUCUUAUUACCAGCUCAACCUUUUCAUUUAUUUUGUUUCUCCAAAUAUAGAGAGUGACAGAUAUGGCUUUUUUUGCUGAGGAUGUCCACCUUUUGGCCAGGUACUCCUUUCUACAUAUUUCAUGCGAUAAAUUGACUUCAUUUGUGUCAUCAAAAAGUGCUCAUCUUUCAUUUUCUGCAGUGCAAGUGUCGAUGGCCGGGUUUUUGUAUGGAGGAUCAAUGAAGGCCCUGAUGAUGAAGAUAAGCCGCAAAUUUUUGGCAAAGUUGUUAUUGCCAUUCAGAUCGUGGGGCAAGAAGAAUCGAAACAUCCACGAGUCUGUUGGCAUCCUCACAAACAAGUAAUAAAUCGGUUUGUAUUUUAUGUUAUCAAAUAGUAACUAUUAUGUGCUUGUCCUGUCCAUACUUUUUUUUCCUUGUUGUAAAGGUUCAACAAAUGUUAUCUAACAGGAGAUUUUGAUGGUUGCUAUUGGAAAUUGUAUCCUGAAAAUUGAUACAAUGAAAGUUGGAAAACUUGAAGGGUUUACAGCAGAGGAACCUCUUAAUUGCUCUGUUGAUAAGCUUAUUGAUGGGGUUCAGUUUGUUGGUAAACAUGAUGGUGAGCUUACAGAGUUGUCAAUGUGCCAAUGGUUGACUACCCGUUUAGCUUCAGCUUCAGUAGAUGGCACGGUUUGUACAAACACUUUUUCUUAUUUGCUGGUUUAUUUCCUCUCUUUUGGUUCUUAAUAUGGUUUCUUCUGAGAACAAAAAUGAAAACUGAGUGAUGGUUAUAUCUAGAACACAGAAAACCUCUUCAAAGAUUUUCCUAUAAUGGCUGUACGUGACAUGUAAAGCUGAUAAUGUUUUAUUUCCAGCUAACAUGAUGACUGUAGUUAUGGAUAUUGAGCCUUUUUAAUGUAAGUUUUUUGGUUGUCCAAAGCGAUUUUCUCAUUAUAACUAUUAGCUAUUAUUGAUGUGGGAAUACUGUAAAUCAAGUAGCUGACAGCCAUUGGCCUUUUUAAGGCCUAGAAAAUUGAAGAUUUUGGUUUGACUUGUGGCAGUUGUUCCAUUAGGCAGUGUGCUUAAAUUCCGAGCAGACCAUCUGUAUUCAUUCUUCAAUCAGGUAAUGAUAUUUGUGGAAACUGUAAACUCUGUGACAGGUGAAAAUUUGGGAAGAUCGUAAGCCUUUACCACUUGCAGUGUUGAGGCCACAUGAUGGACAUCCUGUUUACUCAGCAACAUUCUUGACUGCCCCGCAUCGCCCUGACCAUAUAGUUCUUAUCACAGGAGUAGGCUUCUUUUUCUUUUCCUUUUUAUAGAACAUUUUCUAUGUCCAUUUUAAGCUUUUGUGAUGUAGAAAAUUACUUGUGCGUUUGUGUUAGUACUGCGCCAUAAAUUCACUUUUCAUUAUGCCAAAUGUCUAUUUUGAAAUCUUUUAGGGCCCACUAAACCGUGAAGUGAAGAUAUGGGCCUCUUCAGGUGAAGAGGGCUGGUUGUUGCCCAGUGAUGGUGAAUCAUGGCAGUGUACCCAAACAUUGGAAUUGAGGUGUUCUGCUGAAUCUGAGGUUGACAAUGCAUUCUUUAAUCAAGUUGUGGCACUGCCCCAUGCAGGCCUGUUUCUGCUUGCAAAUGCCAAGAAGAAUGCCAUAUAUGCUGUGCACAUAGACUAUGGGCCUAAUCCAGCUGCAACUUGCAUGGAUUAUAUAGCUGAAUUCACUGUCACAAUGCCCAUAUUGAGUCUCACUGGAACAAGUGAUAGUUUGCCAGGUGGAGACUAUACCGUCCAAGUCUACUGCGUUCAAACACAGGCCAUUCAGCAAUAUGCUUUGGACUUGUCUCAAUGCCUGCCACCACCCUUGGAAAAUGCAGACUUGGAUAAAACUGAUUCUAAUGCUGCUCAUGUUUUUGAUGCCAUGAACUCUGAUGUUUCUGCUUCUCUGGAAUUAUCUCAUGGAUAUAAACCAAGCCCUUCAAUUUUGGUGUCGUGUAUAAGCUCCAGUAGCUCUGAAAGUGCAUCAGUCGUGAGCUGUACGCAAAAUUUAGCUUCUUCAGAUGUUACUUUCAUAUCUGAGAGUGCUGUGUCUGGCAUUGAAAGUAAGCCAAGUGCUUUGCUGUCUUCUAGUAGUGCCGAAAAUAUGCACAGUGCAUCUCCUCCAGGGUUAUCACGAAAGUCUUCUGGUUUUAGAAAUCCAAGUGUUGAUCAUGUUAACCACUCAGCACAUGAUUCUGUUGACCACAAUGUAGAUACAGUCAAAGAGAAUAAGGCUGAAAUGCCCUACUCUGGUGGUCACCUGCAGAAAGGUGAAGAUAUUGCCCAAAAUGACAUUUCAACUGUUCCUGGUCCUCAUACAGUGUUCAAACAUCCAACCCAUCUGGUAACACCAUCAGAGAUACUGUCUACCAUGGCUUCAUCGACAGAGAAUGCUCAGAUUAGUCAGGUUAUUAGUGACGGUGAGGCAACAGUUGAAGAUGUUGUCAAGAAUGAUGCUGAAAGCAUAGAGGUAGAAGUUGACAAUCUUGGUGAGACAAGGCAUUGUCAAACUAAUGAAACUAAAUGUCCACAAGGCCCUCAUACUACUGUUACAGAUAACAAAGAAAAGGCAUUCUACUCUCAGGCAUCGGAUCUUGGCAUUCAGAUGGCCAGAGAUUUUUGUGCCAAAAGUUAUAGCGUUGAGGGAGCUCAACAAGCUAAUCUCAUGGGUGUUUCUGUUCAAGAAGAUAAACUUACUAAUACUGGUGAUGGGGAUGACCAGAAUGUGAUUAAAGAUGUCCCUCCAAAGGUCAGUGAAACUGACACUGCUGUCACUGUUUCUGCAUCUCCAGCUUCUGCUAAAGGGAAAAAGCUGCAAAAGAAAAAUUCUCAAGUAUCUAUCGCAUCUUCCCCUUCAGCAAGCCCAUAUAAUUCCACAGAUUCAUCUAAUGAACCAGGGUGUAGUUCCCAGGCUCUGUCAGCUGAUGCUUUUUUGCCCCAAUUGCUAGCCAUGCAGGACUUGCUUGAGAAGGUGGGUUUUUUUUUUUAAUAAAAACAAUACAUAAACAAAUUUUUGACGAAAAAAUUUCCUUUUAGAAAAAAAAAAUUAUAGAGCCUCUUCUUUAUACAUGUGCAUUCGUGUGCAUGUUAACAUUUUUUAUAUAAUUUUCUUAAUAUAAUGAUUUUGUUGCACCAAGCAGUCCCUUAGCAUGCAGAAGGAAAUGCAGAAGCAGAUGAACACAAUUGUCUCUGCUCCUGUUAACAAAGAAGGGAAAAGAUUGGAAGCAUCCUUGGGCAGGAGCAUUGAGAAAGCUGUAAAGGCAAAUACAGAUGCUUUGUGGGCCCGUUUCCAGGAUGAAAAUGCAAAGCAAGAGAAGUUAGAAAGAGACUGCAUGCAGCAGAUAACAAACUUGAUCACCAACUGUUUAAAUAAGGACUUGCCAGCCAUGUUUGAAAAAUCCUUAAAGAAGGAAAUAGCUGCAGUUGGCCCUGUUGUGGCUCGUGCUAUUAGUCCUAUUCUGGAGAAAAGUAUAUCUUCUGCUAUUACAGAGUCAUUCCAGGUAAAACCAAAAAUCCAAAUUUUGUUCGCAUAUUAGAUUGUUUGGUGCCCUAUAAGAGUGAAGUGUUCAUUUAUUUGGACAAAUGCACCAUUAUAAAUGAAGACAUAAUAGGAAAUGUAGCAACUAUAUCUUCUUGUUGGAAAUGUUAGCAGGUGCUCUUGGCAUGGGUCAAUGUGAUAUUUAUAGGAAGAAUUUUGUAGUUAGUGUAUUUGUUAUCUCUUGAAAAGGAAAUAAUACAUUCAAUAAAAAACAUCAUACUGCUAAAUAUUUACUUUUUGGGAAAACACAAAUGCUAAAUAGUAAUCUGAGUGAUCUUAAACGCACUUGAUCUUAUUAUUGAAAUAUGCUGUAAUGAUCUCUUUCCAUCUUGUCCUAUCUUUUACUUCAUUUCUGGGUAAAAUUUGGUGAAACCUCAGAUGUUUCUACACUAUUUGUUGCUGUGGUAGCUUUCUUUCAUCAAUCGGAUUUAUUCUAUAGUUGUGAAUUUUUCUCCUCUAAAUGUAGUCAAAUAUGGUAUAUAAUUCCCUUAUGCCACUAAAAUUGUGGUAGUUACAUUAUGGGGUUUCUAAUUGGGUAUUUGCAGAAAGGAGUUGGAGAGAGGGCUGUGAAUCAUUUAGAGAAGUCAGUCAGUUCAAAACUUGAAGUGACAAUGGCCAGGCAAAUUCAAGCACAAUUUCAAACUUCUGGAAAGCAAGCACUUCAGGUGACUUCUUGUUCAUCUAUCCUUUUUUUAAAACUUACGUUAUGUGUUUUUCUUUAUUAAAUUCAUUUGAUCCUUCCAAUGCUUUCCUUUUUCUGUCAUUUGGAGUUUGAUAAGAAUAAUUUAUUUCUAGAUGAUAAAAAUUUAGAUCAGUGGGAUUGGUGAAUGUAUUUUCCUUUGACAAAUAAGCAUUCAAAUGUCUCAUGGACUGUUAUAAAUGAAAUUCAUAGCCUUCGUGGGGAUGUUUUCCUUUAUUGUAAAAUGCAAUUACAUGUACUCUCCAAUAUCACCUAAUUCAAUAAAUCAGUUGUACCCUACAGGAUGUAUAAGCUUCCUUUAUGGAUUGGUAGUAACUCUAAAUUCCAUUCUGCAUGAAACUCUUGUUCCUAUUUUUCUCUCUAGUUUAUGUGGAUACAGGUUGUUGAACUUACACUGGUCUGCAUUUAAAUUUGAUAGAAAGGAGGGGAAAAAGUUGGGGGGGGGGGUUAAUUGAUACCUGCCUAGUGUCUCCUAAAGAAGAUAACAGAACCCAUCAGAUGAAUGUCCUAAAACUUGUUGAGUUCUCUAGUUAUUUCUUAUUGUUUCUGGUGUCUCUAAUGGUCAUCCUCCCUGGUGACAUUCUGCUAACCUUUUUUUUAUUGGAACGAAUGUUCAUAUAUCUUAAUAUUUGACGUCGGAUAAAGUUGUUCUGCUGAUUAGAGAAAUGCUGUAUUCAUCCACAGGAUGCACUAAGGUCUAGCUUGGAAACGUCUGUUAUUCCAGCAUUUGAGAUGUCAUGCAAAUCUAUGUUCGAGCAAAUUGAUGUCACAUUUCAGAGAGGGCUAAUGGAACACACAGCUACUGCUCAGCAGCAAUUUGAAAAUUCACAUUCUUCCCUUGCCGUUGCUUUAAAGGUAUGGUAGAUUAGUGACAGUUUGGUGGUUUCUAUCGUAACUUAAUUCUCACUUUAGCGUGUUAAAACUGUCAAAGGUUACCUUCCUUAGUAGCUUAAUCAUGAUAAAAUGUAAUUGAGUAUUCUCAUUUUUUUUUAUAAUUUUUACUGUGCUUUGUAGAUGUUCCUGACUUGAUAUCUUUUCUAGGAUAAGUCGUAGUAUAUCUGUUUACUAUUUUUUAUAGCCAUAGAAUAAAUGAUGUUGCAUAAUGAAUUUUAUACAGUUAAAGAGGUGCCUUUAACUGAACAUGUUUCUGCAAAAUCUUGUUUCUAGAUUGCUACUGAGAUAAUAUCUGAAUGUAGGUAUAUAUGCUCAAUAUUAGGAUUUGUGCUUGAAUGGGAGAUUUCUAGAUUGCUACUGAGAUAAUCAUAACCUGUGUUGUCAAGGCUGCAAGGUGCACUCUAGGUGCUAGAACCCUUAAAUUGGUGCAAGAAAAGUGCUAGCCUAAGUGAAAUAAAGCGCAAUAUAUGUAUGUAGUUUUAGCAAGUCUGUAUAUAUGAUAUAUAAAGCUUAAGAUAUAUAGUAAACUCAAAAUUAUGGUCUAGUUUAUCUACAGAACAUGCAAUUUUUUUAUUGAUCAAUAUGCAUGAUUUCCGUAUAGUUUAUGUUUGUUGCUGAAUGCUCAAAUAUUGAGAAGUAUUUAGUUUGACAUGAUUCCUUUCUAACUAGUAAAGAGAUAUCAAAUGAGAUCUGUGAAAAAUAAAAGAAAUUAAAGGAGAUUCAUUCAAGUGGAUUUUUUUAUGCCUAUUGCCUUACAUAAAAGCGCUCCUAGGUACAAGCCUCGUGUGCCUAAUCAAAAGGGCCUUGCUUGGAAGGGUCUGAGGCAUUUUUGUUGAAUAAUGCUAAAGCUUAAGGCACAGGUGUGCCUAGGCACAAGCCUUGACAACACUGAUCAUAACCUGGUUUUGUUAUAAUUAAUGGAUGGUUGUUUUGUAAUGUACGGUAGUCAACAGCCAGUUUUAAUGAUGUCCAAUAAGAUGGUGAAAUGUUCGAAGACAAUUUUUCACAUUUAUGUAUAGUGUUGCCUGUAUUAUAGGCUUUGCUGGUUCAACUUAAGUCUUUUAAGAUAAACUGCUUUAUAUUCACAGGAUGCUAUUAAUUCUGCAAGUUCAAUCACACAAAGCUUAUGUGGAGAAAUGGCCAAUGCACAACGAAAACUUCUAGCUAUAGCAGCAGCAGGUGGCAGCUCCAAGGCAGGAAAUCCCUUGGUGACACAAUUGAGUAAUGGGCCAUUGGCUCAUCUGCAUGAGAUGGUAUUCUCUCUCUGUUUCUCGUAAAUCUGACAGUCAUCGUUCAUGUUUAUGUGCCUCACAUCGACUGUUAUACGUGUACAGCAGCCUGAGGCACAGUUAGAUCCAACAAAAAAGUUGUCAAGAAUGAUAGCUGAGAAGAAAUAUGAUGAAGCAUUCACCUCUGCCUUGCAUAGAAGUGAUGUCUCAAUAGUUUCCUGGUUGUGUUCUCAGGUAAGGUUCCAAUGAUCAGUUGUACUCUUGACAUUAUUUUCCAGCAACCCUUAAUUGUACAUAACGAGAAAGCUCUACUUUGAGACCUGACAUUGGUUUGAAUUGAAUUAACCAGGUUGAUCUACAAGGGAUAUUGUCAAUGAAACCAUGUUCACUGAGCCAAGGAUUAUUGCUGGCACUUUUUCAGCAACUGGCUUGUGAUAUCAACAAGGAAACAAGUAGAAAGCUGGCAUGGAUGACUGAUGUAGCAGUUGCCAUAAUCCCAUCAGAUCCAACAAUUGCAGUGCAUGUGGUACCAAUCUUUAGGCAGGUGUCUCAGAUAGUGGAUCAUCUACAAAGCAUGUCCACUACAUCUGCCUCAGAAUCCGCCAGCAUCAGGGUUCUUAAGUUUGUCAUAAACAGUGUGUUAAGCGGUAAAUGAUUUUGUUCAAAUUUGCUAGAAUAUCUUCCUUUUUUUUUUCUUUUUUGUUUUUAAAUAUAGAAAUUUAGGUACUUGCAGUGGAAAGACAAAUGGGGGAUUAUUUCGUAUAUUCAGUUGUAUGUUCGAUUUUGUGUGAAAUAGUUGAGAGCGUAUUUACUUCUCAAUCUUUUUUGGUUUUGAAUUUUUUUUUUUUGGGUUCAGGUCUUUAUGGCUUGAAAAUUUUUUCAUAUUCAAUUUUAUUUGGGUUAGGUUAUUUUGGGUUUGAGUUUAUUUUUGUUCAGUUUCUGAUUUAUUUUUACGUUAAUUGUAAUUACAUCUACAAAAUUUAAGUGUUUACAUUUUAAUAUAAAUUAUUAAUUUAUUUAUCUUUAAACAAACUUUUGAUAUUUUCAAUUAUAUUUUGAUUAAAUCUCGCAAUUCGUUGUUGUUUUGCACCAAAAUGAUAUAAUUAAUUGACAAUAUAAAAUUAACUUUUAAAAUAAUUUAGGGAUGAUGAUUUUUGGCUCAGUUUGCAUAUCUUUUAUUUAUUUUUUACUCUCUGUUUUUUUGCUUGAUUUAACCUUUUAAUUUUUACCAUUUAAAAGUUGCCCAUGAUAAAAAUUAACCUUUCAUUAACUUGAUAUGGAUGUUUCGUGAAAUUUUCUUUGAUCACUUAGAUUUUCAUAUCAUAUAUGUAAUACCCAAUUUUAAGCCCGGGCUCAAAUAAAUAAACAUAAAAAUAAAAAACAAAAACAAAAAAAAACACAGUCCAUUUUUACAAAAAACCUAAACCCAAAUGAUCCAAUACCUAGCCCACUAACCUAAAGCCUAGCCUAACUACAGUGUGGCCCUCAGCAAAAACACAAUACAGCAGAAACCCUAAGCAGUGGCAGCAAAUUGGCGCCGCAGUAACCGCCCCAACGUCACCCCCACACGUUGCGCACGUCGCCCCGCACCCACCAUGCACGUUAUUCCUGCAAACGAACCACGGAUAGCACUAGAAUGACCGAAAAUAUAGCAAAAAUUGUAAAAAGAGAUUUUUUUUCUUUUUUCUUUUUUCUUCUUUCGGCUAUAAAAACUGAGGAAUACAUUUGUAAACCAAAAAAGAGGGAUAUCAAAAAAACAAUUUAAAAGAAUCAGAGAGCAGUUUGAAGGUUUUUUUUUUCCUUUUCUUUUCACUUCGAGUUUUUCUUCUUUUGUUUUUUUUUAUCUUUGUUUCAUACCUUUUUAUAAAAAAUAUAAUAAAAAGGAAAAGCGGCUUACCUGGUUUCGAGCGCCAUUCGCGGUGGCCUCACAGUGGGCACGACGGUGGCGGCAUGAAGGUGCUAGGGUCGAAACCCUAGCAGAGAACCCCCUCCCCUUUUGUUUUUUUAAAACAGAAAAAUAAAAUAGAAAAUUUUUAAGGGAAAUUUUUGUUUUUAAUAAUGUAAGCAAAACAGCGUCGUUCGGUGAGGGCAGGAUCCGCGUGUCGA
This 53709-nucleotide long non-coding RNA is filed under the name Gossypium barbadense (sea-island cotton). RNAcentral describes it as "long non-coding RNA (GBAR_LNC019259)". Lineage: Eukaryota; Viridiplantae; Streptophyta; Magnoliopsida; Malvales; Malvaceae. The record is from RNAcentral.